UUAAAACUUAAUACUAGUACAUCUUAAAUUAGAAAGAUUACAAUUGAACCAUGAAAAUGAAAGAAUGUGACAUCACGUGGAAACUUUAUCGUACAAGACAGCUCAUAGAUCCUUUCAUAUUUUGCCACAUAAUCCCUUCCCCUAACCGCCCCUCCUAAACUAAAAACAAAACUAGAUUAGCUUAAACUAAACUAUGAACAUAUUCAUAUUCCCAUUUUACCCUUUUCUACUACUCCAAAAUCUACACCCACCCAAGUCAAAUUACAUAAAAGCACCUACUACAUUAAACCACCAUCUUUUCGGUAACUCAAAACUUGCACCAUUAACGUUAUGGUCCGAACAGCUCACUCUUAGUCAUACAUUAAAGUAUCACUUUUCGGUGACUCAAACUUGCAAUCUUCAUGUUUAUUAUUCGAGCAACUCCCGCUUAGAGUACAUUAAGCUACCAUCAUUUCGGCGACUCAAACUUACAACCUUCGCAUUGUUAUUCGAGCAACUCCCUCCUAUUGUACAUUAAACUACCAUCUUUUCCGGUAACUGAAACUUACAACCCUCGCGUUAUCAUCCAAGCAACUCCCUCUUAUCCUACAUUAAACUACAUUGCUUUCCAUGAAUGACUCAAGAGUAGGAAAGCCAGCAAAAGAGCUAAAGUCAUAGCCACAUGAGCCACCAUCAACCACCACAUUCUCCGGCUGAGUCACGGCGGCGGACGGCGGCGCCGUUGGGACCAUACCCGAAGUGGGGUCAAGUAAAAAAGCUGACGUGUCAAGAGUUGGCAGAGAGGUAAUCGAUGGUAGCCGGUUACCAACACGUUGGGGUUCCGGUCUCACGAUAUUCCCAACCGGCAGCUGCCCCUCGCCGGGCAUGAACCUAACGCCGGUAACCUGCUGCACCAUAUGCCGGAAAUUGUCCACGUCAGCAGUUAUGUACGUCGUCGUAUUCCUCCUCGAAGCACGUGACUUCCUCUUAGUUAUCUUCCCGUUCACCCCAACUUUACUCCGGCGGGUCGACCCGGUUGUCUCAUUCUCCGACCCCCCGGAAAUAGUCCGACCCGACCCGGUUGAAGUCUGAAACGGGUUCGGAUCCGGGUCGGGGAACACAGAAUUUUGGAGGACUUUGGUUAGUGUUUCGGUUUCUUUGGUGAAUACGUCGGAGAACCAAGAAUCGGUAAAAGCAGAACGAAAUGCCCAUGACUCCAUAGUCAUUAAAUUGUCAGAAGCAGCCAUGUUUAGUACAAAAUUUUGCAAAAAUAACCAAAACAACAGAGCUAGAGCUAAGAAGAGUUAAUUUUUCAGUAAAAAAAUUUGCAUUUUUAGUACAAGAAAUUGCAAAAAUAGCAGAGCUAGAGCUAAAAGGAUUCAGUUUUUCGUGCAAGAAAUUGCAAAAAAGAACAAAGCUUCAGCUAAAAAGACUGAACCUUUUUAGUCAUAAAAUUGCAUUUUUAGUACAAGAAUUGCAAAAGCAACCAAAAGUAGCAGAGCUAGAGCUAAAAGGAUUCAAUUUUUAGUGCAAGAAAUUGCAAAAACAACCAAAAAGAGCAGAGCUGGAGCUAAAAAGAUCAAUAUUCAAUUUUUAGUACUAAAAUUUGUUAAAUUUGCAUUUUUUGGGUGCAGUGAAGUGGAGAAAAGAAAGGGAUAAUCCAGUAUGAAAGGAGGAAGAAGAUAUAUAAAAGAGUAGAAAAGAAGAAACCGCGUUUUGUGGGGACACGUGUCAGCAUAUCUGUACGUGUAAUAUAAUGACUCUAAAGAUAACUUUGGCUUUCUCAUUUAUUAUAUUUUGACGGUCGAGAAUAAUAAUUAGGAGGAAAAGAAGGAUUAUAAAAAAAAGGAUAAAAUUUGGUUGAGAUAAAAUUUAUAAAAUAAUUAAUUUUAAAAUUAAUUAUUUUAUGAUUUUAUUGUUACGUUUUUUUUAAGUUGAAAUAACUAAUUUUGAAAUAGCUAAAAGUUUUGUGCAUUAGUGCUUGGAUUAGGAUUAGUCAUUUGGGAUGGUUUAGUCUAUUUUUUUUCUCAAAUUAAUGUUUUUUACUUAUUCUAAUCAUAGUAGUGCUUAGUUUAGUUAGUUUAAUUUACUCAAAUCAGACAUUAAACAAUAGGUAUUUUCCACUUAAAAGUCAUAUAAACUAACUUUUCCAAAUUUAUGGUCAUUGAUUACUUCUUAAGAUUUUUACAAAUGUUGAGGAAAAAGGGGGCAGCCCGAAAAAAGUCAUAAAAUAUCAUUAAUUAUUCCUAUAACAAAGAAAAUUAAGUUUAUAGUAUUAAAAUGAUAUAAUAAUAUUCUAGUUGAUUUUCAUACUCAAUUAAGUACCGUCGUAUAUAAAGAGAUAAUUUAAAGGAAAGGAAUAAGGUGGAAUUUAGUUGACUUAUUAAAAUUAAAACAAUAAUAUUGAAAUAUUUAUUGAUGGUUACAAUGGAGGGAACAUACAAAAAAAUUAGGUAAGAAUAGUCAAAAUAAUCAAUAUAAGUACAGCUCUCAAGCUGUGUUGAUAAUGACAAGUAAAUCAUAUUAGUAGUAUAAGCUAAAAAAGCAAAAAAGAUUAGAUUUUAAAAGAGAUCCCACCGUAUAUUAGAUAGAUCUAAAUAGGAUUUAUAUUAUAUUAUAUAUUAUUAUUAUAGGACUAAAUGCAACUUUUCUAGAAGCUUAAAAUUCAAAAUAUAAACUUUUUGAAAGAAAUAAAAAAAAUAAAAAUUUAAAAGGACCCUAGUGAUGAGGCCACGAUGAGGGGAUAAUUACGUUUGAAUGAUGUCAUUUAAAUUUAAUUUAUUUUUUAGCUGUCUUUCAUUUGGGCGGUUUUGUAAUUUAAACAGAUGCCGUCCAAUAAAUGCAAUUUUGUCUGCUUUGUGUGUGUUAGUAUUAUUAUGCAAUAAAAAUAAAUCACAUGUUAUAUAAUUCGAUUUGGAUAAUAAUAAUAGGUGUACUAGCUAUAUUGGAUAAUAUUUCACACAAGAAUAUAUUAGACUAUGAUAAUUACGCAAUGAAUGUACAACAACAACAGCAAAAUAUCCGAUGUAUUCAAUCUAGGGAGAGUAAAAUAUAUGUAGUUCAUAUCACUAUCAUUAAAAAAAUAAAAAGGUUAUUUCUGAUACACCCCCAACUCAGAACAAAAGAAGGAAAAUAAAAUUGAAAUAAAACAUGAAAUAGGAUGUAGUAAUUUAAUAAUGUAAUAAAACCACACUGCAGUACCCUACACUAUCAAACUUGGUGCACGCCCCUCACUACAACCCUCCUGCAACUAAUAACAACCUUACCCCAAAGCACUCUUAUCUAUUAAUUCGCAAGCCCUCUAACUUAAUUCGGAUCUUUUAUAACUUUCUAUCUAAGGUCAUGUGCUCAGUAAGCUGUAAUUGAUCCAUAUCACUCUCUCCAGUAUUUCUUCAGCCUUCUCCUACCCCACCUGAAACCUCCAAAUUCCCCAUCACAUGCCCAAAUCAUCUUAACUUCACUUCUCCCAACUUGACCUCCACCAAGGUCAACCCCACCUUCUCCCGAAUAGUCUCAUUCCUAACCCCGUUUCUCCUAGUAAGCCCACACAUUCACCGCAAUAUUCUCAUUUUCGUCACCUUCAACUUUUGAAUAUGAGAGUUCUUAAUCGGUCAACACUCUGCUCCAUAUAGCAUAACCGGACAGACUAUCAUUCCAUAUAAUUUACUAGGCAAAAUGACCUUCUGGACCCCUCUACUAUGUCAGUUUUGUAAGUUGGACACUUCUACUUACAUGUUUGUCAUCUAGACCCUUGAACCCAUCAAAAAAUAAUAUUUCGCACCCUUUGAACGUUGACCUUGCCUAUGUGGCAAGGUCAUGGUGACUAGGACAAAGAGAGUGUAACCACUCACCUAGGGGUGCGAGUGAGGUCAAUUUUUGGUCAAUUUUACAUUAAAUAAUUAAAAAAAAUAAUACUAAAAUUUAACAAAAAAUUAAAAAGGGUUCUUUUUUUUUCCUCCAUCUUUUUAAAUUUAAAAAUAUUUUUAAAAAUUUAAAAAUAAUUUUAAAAUAUUUUAAAAUUUAAAAAAAAAUAAAAAAGAAUACUUUUUUUCCCUCCAUCUUUUUUAGUUUAAAAAUAUUUUUGAAAUUUUAAAAAUAAUUUAAAAAUAUUUUGAAAAAAUUAAAAAUAAUUUAAAAAUAUUUUUAAAAAUUAAAAAAAAAAAUUCCCACCCCAGCCCGUCCCCACCCCANNNNNNNNNNNNNNNNNNNNNNNNNNNNNNNNNNNNNNNNNNNNNNNNNNNNNNNNNNNNNNNNNNNNNNNNNNNNNNNNNNNNNNNNNNNNNNNNNNNNNNNNNNNNNNNNNNNNNNNNNNNNNNNNNNNNNNNNNNNNNNNNNNNNNNNNNNNNNNNNNNNNNNNNNNNNNNNNNNNNNNNNNNNNNNNNNNNNNNNNNNNNNNNNNNNNNNNNNNNNNNNNNNNNNNNNNNNNNNNNNNNNNNNNNNNNNNNNNNNNNNNNNNNNNNNNNNNNNNNNNNNNNNNNNNNNNNNNNNNNNNNNNNNNNNNNNNNNNNNNNNNNNNNNNNNNNNNNNNNNNNNNNNNNNNNNNNNNNNNNNNNNNNNNNNNNNNNNNNNNNNNNNNNNNNNNNNNNNNNNNNNNNNNNNNNNNNNNNNNNNNNNNNNNNNNNNNNNNNNNNNNNNNNNNNNNNNNNNNNNNNNNNNNNNNNNNNNNNNNNNNNNAUAUUUAACUAAUUUUAAUGUAAUAUUUUUUUUUUAUUUUUUUAUUUUAAAAAUGAUUAUUCAAAAAUUUUAAAUUUUAAAAGCAUGAUUAUUCAAAUUUUUCUACAAUUUAUAAAUUUUUCUUAUUUAAUUAAAUUAAUUUUUAAUUUUUUUUUAAAUGAUGUGGCAAAUAUGACUGACGUGGCAGAUGAGACAGCUGACGUGGGAGAGUGUGUGUUACACUCACCAAAAAAGAAUUUAAAAUGUUUUUUAGUAGGUUCAAAGGUCAAGAUGACAAACAUAUAAGUAGAAGUGUGCAACUUAUAAAACUCAUAUAGUAAAGGAAUCCAGAAGGCCAUUUUGCCAAUUUACUAUUAAGAAGUUUGAGAGACCUUCUUAUCAUUAAAAUAGGAAUAGUACUCUGGAAAGUGUGUCAUUAAAUGAAUAAUACUCUCUAUUGUUAAUGUCAUACUUUACUAAGAAUAAUAUUGAAUAAAAUGUACACAUAGGUUAAAACCAGUAAUGGAAUGUACACAUAGGUUAAAACCAGUAAUCCAUUACCAUACAAAAGAUUAGUUUAAUGUAUUGAAAAGUUAAUACAUGUAUUAAUUUAAUGUGUAUUAGUAGUACCUUAUUUGAUAUUUUUAACUUAUGCAUAACUAAUAUUUGCAUUAAUUAUACACUCUAUUGUGUAUUGAGGUGUAUUACUAAUAUCUCAAAAUCCAUGGCAUUAAUAAUGCAAUGAAUCUAAUGCAUGUAUUAACAUGCUUAAAGACACUAUUAUCCCUCAAAAAAAUUUCCACAUCCUUUUCAACAUAUAUAUUGAGAGUAUUACGUGAAUUUUUUUUUGUUAAAUUAUGUAAUUCAUGUUAUUUUUAAUAUAUCGAACCAAACACUGCAUAAAAAAAAUACAAGCAUAGUUGACGCACCAUAUCUUGCAUUAUUGUUAUACACCCUACCAAACGACCCCUAAAGGAUAUUCAAACUACUGCACGUGCAUUACUACAGUUUUUGACAAACACCCUGUUGUUCCUUUCAAUCAACAAUCCAUACACAUAUUCUGCCAGGCUGAUUUUGAAUACUUGAGCCAGCUGAGACUUACCUUUACCCUACUGGAUACAACACCAUGUCCCAAUCUGAAGGAGAGAAAGCUGGCCUGAGAAUCCAGUAAGCAUUCUAUUCCAUAAUCUGAUGGCAAAGUGCCAAUGUACAAAUAAGUGCUCUAUAGAUUCUUCUUCAGUCUGACACGAUACACAAGUUAUACACAAUGGCAAUUCACACUAGUCAUCCUCAUCAAGCUCUGAUUUAAAUGCUCAAAGUUAAGAUGAAUGACACUGUAGCUAUCAAAAACAAUUCUAGAAUAUCAAAUUAUCGCGAUGAAUUGGUUUGUCAAUCUCAUUGAAUAUUGUAAGUAUUACUUAUCACACCCUGUGUUGAUGCUGCUGCAUUCUUUAUGUUAUAAGUGAUUCUCGCGAGGCGCUCCAAGCAAAGUCCUUCGAUUCCUUCCAUUUAGUCUGUCUAAUAUUACUUUUUGGAGAAAUUAGGUUGCAGAUUUCAUAAACAAACGCUGAUCUAAAAUCAAAAUCAAAACUUGAAAUCAGGAUCCCAAAUCCUAUUGGGCAAACGCCUCCAAGAGCCGGUAGAUCAGAUUGAAUGAGUUAUUGAAAACUAAUCUGAUAACCUAUUUACAAACAACAAAUUACUCAAAAACACAAGUAGAUACACAAGGAAGGAAAACAGUUGAUUGAUUAACACAACUUUAUAAGUAAUAUGAUCGAAAUAUUACAAAAUAUAGUGAUCCUCAUUCUGAUCUCAUUUUGUUAAUCUGAUUCAAAGCUGGUUGUAGAAUGUUGUAAGCUACCCAAAGCAAAGCAGGUGUGACAACAAUCAACAAAAGUUGUCCCCUGUUGUCACUUGCAGCAUCAGCAAUCAUCGCGACAUCGCUAGCAGCCGAGGCUUCUGGUGUGUUAAAGAAGCCGGUUGCAGCUAGCCCGGUAAGACCAAGUCCGAUGAUUAUUCCCUGAUUCCUCAUUUUGUUGAUUUGGUUGAGUGCUGGUUGUAGAAUGUUGUAAAGAACCCAUAAGAUAGCCGGGAUCAAAGGAAGUAAUAAGGCCAAACCCCUGUUGUCUCCCUCAGCUAUAUCGGCUAUUUGUUGAGCUGCAAAUGCGGCGUCACAUGAGCUAAGAGUAGAGAAAAUGGCGCCGGCUAUAGCUGUUCCGGUUAAAGGAAUGGAGGAUAAGUUUGAGGGAUUUUGAGAAGAUUUUGAAGUUAAGAGACCUUUUGGGAGAUUUUGGAUGGAGAGAAGGGAGAUGGGUUUUGGCUUUGAUUGGUUGUUGAUAGAUGCUUUGGCGAAGCAUUUGGCAUUGAGCAUGGCCAUGGUAGCUAUGGUGGCUGCCAUUUCUUGAUUUUGUUGGCUAGAAAACUCGCAAAAUUGUGGAUGGUUUGUUUGGUUGAUUGAUAUUAUUAAAGUGAGAAAUAUAUAAAAAGAAGAUAAGACUCAAAGUGAUUUUAAAUGAGAGAACCAAUAGGAAUGUGGCAUUUUAGAUUGUUCUCUUAUCCAGAGAUUGUGAAUUAGAGGAUAUGGACCUCAUAUUUGAUAACACACCAAUGGUUUCUUAUCUUCACUCUCUUUCCAACAACUAAACUAACUAGAAACUUCUAAAAUUUUGCUACAAGUUUCUUCUUCUAGGCACUCAAGAAGUUGUUGGAUUCACUUUUGUGGCCCAAGACUUUUUGAGUUUUGACGGGCCCAAAGAUAGUAAUUUGCAAAGAGGAGAAUUAUGCCUUCUCAGCAAACACAGUACUACAACAUAAUCUAUAUUAGGCAGGCCAGUUGUUGCUCAUUCCAUAUAGUUUACCUUAAAAUCGUGAUCAUCCGUCUCUGAUGACAUUCAAAGGAGGAUUUAAAAGAAAGUAAGAGCACUAAUCAAUGUUACUACGUAUUGAUGACAUGCUUUGUGUAUUGCAUGGGCCUAUUUAUCAACUAUUUAGUUUUAAAACAUGAUUUGAUAAAGUCAAGUCUGCUUGCAGUUCAGAGGGACUUAUUUGGCACAAUGCAGUGUGUAGUGUAAGAUCGAACUGACCUUUAUUGGUGAGAGUUAGAAGUGUAGUCAGCAGCAGUGUGUAGUUAGAAGUCUGCUUGGUUGGUGGGAGUUUGGAUGUAGUACAUACAGUGCAUCUACUUGAUUACUUCGUUGGUGUAUACAACUAGGGACGCUACCUUUGAUGAUUUAUAAAAUUACGGACCAAGUUCUGUAUCGACAGCGGUUUUUUCUUGUUUGAUCAGUCCGGACACCAGACAAUAAAAUGACAUACGCACAGGAAGAUUACGGAAGCAUCGCCAGUUUAGAUAACACUUCUCCAUUAUAUUUAUAUGUAACAUGUAGUUAAACAAAAUUUACAUACAAACAACACUAGGAACCCGCCAAGAAACUGCCCAGGAGACUUCUCAAGAGUUUAUCCCUGAUUCCAAAUCACAGGAUCCAGCCAAACAGACUCACAUUUGAUUAUCUGAUUCCACUGAGCGUAACCACGAGAUAUUCCGGGGUUUGAUUGAACACAGGAUCUGUGCCACUGGGUGGUGUAAUCCUUUUCCGCAUAAUUGACUCGAAAAGAGUAGGCUCCCUCUUCCUACCACCUCUUGGUCUAGAUAGGAAUAGCUCAUCAGCCUCUUCAAAAUCUCCCUGUAAAGGACGAUCAAAACACCUUUAAGUCACUCAUGAAUACUAGAAACAAAACUGAUCCGAAAUGCAUAUUGUGCAUUCAAGUAACAAAUACGUCCUACUUACAGGAGUAUAAACAUGGCAGCCUGAUUUUUCAUGUUUAUCUCUCACAUGCUUGAAGGCAAAUUUCAUACCACAACCAGAAAUGCUACACGAGAAUGGCUUAGCUCCCAAGUGCACGGAUUUGAUGUGUUGAGCAAGAUUUGACCUCUGUAUUUUCAAGCAGCAAAAAAAAAGGUUAAAACUGUUGCUCAACAACUUGAUACAGAGCUGGCUUUGGUUAAUAUUAAAACUGUCACAUAGCUGUCUAUGCAUUUCUCCUCAGACUUGUAAUGAAUUAGUGCUAUCGCUUUCUAGACUGAUCACACUAAUGAUCCUUCUAACAGAAGGGAACUUUAACUACUCGAAAAUGUAGUAGUCCCUUACCGUGGAGAAAGUGUGCUGACAAUCCUGGAACUCACAUUUUAUUCUUUCCGAUAUAGGACCUUCUUCAUGAGUGCGAAGAUGCCGCUUAAUAUUCUUCUUCAAUUGCUUGGUCCCACAUAUUUCACAAACAAUAUGUAGGUGGCAACUCUCUAUGUGUUCCUUGAGACAUUUCUCAUUUGUGAAAUGCUUCAUACAUCCUGGCUCCAAACACAGCGCCUCAAUCGACUCCAACUUAACUGCAGUAAUACAUGGAAAUUGUGGUCUCACUCAUCUUACUGGAAGUCUUCUAUAACAGAAGUAAAAAAAUAUCAAUAAUUCACAGAAAACUAGAUUUCUGAAGUUUUGACUCACCAUGAGAAUCUUCGUGUUUCCUUAAUUUGGAUGCAUAUUUGAACACCUUUCCACAUCCAGCUUCAGAACAGACAUACUCCUUUGGAAGAUCAACCUUCGGCGAGGCAGACUGUUCAUGCAUCUCUUUGACAUGCCGAGUCAUGUUGCCUUGAAAACUAAAUGUGCUUUUGCAGCCAUCGACAGGACACUCAAACAACUUCCCUUGGUGGAGCAAGAGAUGCCUCGUCAAGUGAUCCUUUCUACGGUAGCGGGAUUGACAGUCAUCUACAUGACACAUGAAUGGCCUCUGUUCAUGCAAAAUAUCAACAAGAAAGCAUUUUAAGAACUUCCCAAUCUAUGGAGGUCCUAGACCAAAGUGCACGCAUGCUAAUGGAGAAAAAAAGAUCUUUUUGUAAUUGGGGAGGAGGGGAACUAAGGAGAGUCUCGAACCACCAAGAUAAUAAGGCGUGAUUGAGGCCUCACUUGAUGGAGCUUCUCAGGAGGUCCCCCUUCCUGAUACUAAUCCAGUCAAGGAAAUAUACCUGCCUCCUGCAUUUUGGAGUUCUUUAUUUGGGAUCCAAUGCGUCACACCUUCUCAUAAUUCCUCAAUGUUUCUCAAAAUAUCUGAAUCUGCAAAGUCAUUAGUACUAAACGCAUACAAAAGACAACAAAUCAGAAAACAUUAAAGCUUAUUUAACCAAAAAAACUUAAAAGCCUGACAACAUAUCAAACGAAUAAGUGUACACAUGAUACCUCGAUUGAAUGACUUUGCAUAUGCUGCUUUAAAUGAGCAGGCUUCUGAAAGCUCACACCACAUUCCUCACAAACAUUCAUUUUUGAGCCCUCUUUUCCUUUUGCAUCUUCAGUACCCUCCUCUUUUCGGUUCUCAAUUUCAUCCUAUUAGUAAAACAACACACACUUCAGCUUUCCUUUCCUAUUAACUAAUCAAAUCAGUACCCUCUCCAAAUACACAUUCAAAAAUAUAAGCUCAUAAUAAUAGUUCAACAUUGAAAUUCAAACGAAACAGGUCACGCACUAUAUUUCCCUCAGUACGAUAUCUAAAUAAUAAUCCUUACAUAAGCUAAUCAAACUUAUCGCAUUUCAUGGCUAAUGAAACUAAUAACCAGUAAUCGUCAAAUUUACACAAACUGAGCUCCUACAACGACAAUAAUACUAGUUUAACCUUCAAACUGAGAUCCACAUUACAAUCUCAAAAUUAUAAUCCUUAAAUAAACUAAAUCAAACAUUCACCAUAAUUCAUGGAUAAUGAAACUAAUAAUUACUGAUUGUCAAGUUUACACUAAAACUGUGCUCCUACGAAGACAAUAAUACUAGUUUAGCAUUCAAACUGAGCUCCACAUUAUGAUCUCAAUCAUUCAUCAUAUUUCAUGGAUAAUGAAACUAAUAAUUACUGAUUAUCACUUUCACACUAAAACAAAGCUCAGAAAAAACAACAACAAUACUAGAUCUAUAUGAUGCAGCUCAAUGAACAAUCACCUUGUGAUGAGACUGAAUAUGAGAAGAAAUCAGGGAUUUUUUGGAGCGGCAAAGGCCACAAAAUUCACAGUAAUAUCGUCUAAUGUCUUUAAAUACUAUUUUUCUUUGCUCUUCUCCUUCUUCCCCCAUUGCGCCCAAUUUUCAGCUGCAAAUUUCAAAACCCUAAUUUUGGUCGACUGUUGAUCUAAGCUCUUCUAUUUAUAGUCCAGGGAAAGUUGGAAAUUGUUUCAACAUCCUUCAACUUAUGAAAUAUGAUAGUUUCAACCCUAAAAGGUUUUCCUAACUCGAGUUUCACCACGAAUUAAUAAAAGUUACUCCCUCUAUCCCAUUUUACUCGCCCCAAAUUGGGAUGACACAGUUAUUAAGAAAAAUAAUAAAUAACAUGGCUAGUUUACCAUAAUACCCUUAUUAAAUGAUGUUUAUAUUUUAAUUUAAAGAAAAAAUAAUUAAUACAAAGGGUAAAAUAUGAAAAAAAAAAAAUUGUCUUGUCUUGAUAAGUAAAAAAGGACAAAUAAAAUUGGACACCAAAUUAGAAAAUUUGGGACGGGUAAAAUAGGACGGAGGGAGUAUGUUUGUUUUGGACACUAUUAAGAAAUAUUCAAAAUUUUGAGACAUAUUUUUGGUCAUGGAAUGAACUUUAAAUUAAAACAAAAGAAAUAUGAUCCUCCUAAGAACAUUUUUUUAAAAAAUAAAUGUUGUUUUUGGACACUUAAAUUGUUUUGAAUAUCUUUAAUAAAUACUAUAUAAAUGUAAUUUAAGCAACGUGUGAAUAAAAAUUAGUACAUACGAUUUGUGAAUUGAAUGUUGUGAUUUAAGGACUUGAUUAUUAUAGGUGAAGCAAUUUAUUUUUUGUUUUGUGAUUGAACAAAUCAACACGGUUAAUGGAGGUUUAAUAGGAUCACAUUUGGUCCUAUUUGAGAUUCAAUAAACAUAUAUGUGAGUUAGUUUGCUGAAAAAUAUAUUUAACCUCAACUGUUAACGAAUAUGAGUCAGUUUUUUAACAAAUAUAUUAACCAAGUGUUUGAAAUUGUUGGUUGAUAGUCAAUAGAUGUAUUGGUACAUGAGAUCCAAGAAGUUUGUCUCAGAGAAGUCGACGUCGACGCCUUCAUGGUCUCCCUAGCUGUGCAAUUGUUGAAACAAACUUGAGCCUGUACUGUUCUUGAGGCAUGCGACGCCUGCACGACUAGCAGCUUGAGCAUAUUUGCUCCUCUAUCGUAGUUUGUGGAAGCAAAAUCCACUGUAUAACAGCCAGCAAAACAAACCUAGUUCGAUGCUUAUGCCCUAUGCCAACUAGUCUUCGUAAGGCCAAAACCUCAACCUUUGAUUCUGUCGGGAUUUUGAGCUAUGCUUCAAACAUCUGGACCAGAAAUCAGCAGGCACACGGUGCAUUUACAAAACUUGAGUUGUCUUCGGUAGAAGGACAAGCUCUGUUCACAAUAACAGACUAGUUAUAAUGCAUUACUCGAAAAAUAUCAUACCUGACACAAUUCUAUGACAUUGACAUGGCAGUUGUUUCUGCACAGUCGCCUGGAUUUGAAAAGGAUCUUCAAUCAUCCCUAUAUUGUACAAGUCACAAGCAUCAAAGAAUAGUUAUGAUCUCACGUAACAAUCUUUCCCUUCCUCGGUAGAACCAAGUCAAAAUAAGGAAUAAAAGUGAUUCAAUUUAGAAAAAGCAAGAUGAAGAUGGAGGAUUUUGUUAGCGACUUUCUAGUUUCUGCUACUAGGAAUAAAACUUAACCUCCAUGUUUUCAGACAGGCUCUUUCACCGUAAGGCUCUUUGUUAAAAUGAUCUUGGUCCAGCUUUCUAACUGGUGAUUAUAAUGACGUUGUGAAAGCUAGCAAAACUAACUUAUUCCUAAAAUCGCUCCACACCACUAUGUGCUUACAACUAUGAUUAUACUAGCUUUCCCGUUUCACAAUUUAAAAGAUUGACUUGGACGGAAAAAAUGCAAAUCAACAAAAUCUGCCAGAAAUAGAACUUGAAUAUACAUUGAUCAGUAUGAACAAAAUGUGAUCUACAAUGCGCAAGAUUACACACAAUUGAAGGCGAGGAAGAAACCAGAAUCUUUCAGCACAGGCGCCAACUGAAAAAACAAAGGUUCCUGGCAAGUAUAAUGCAGCAGAGAAGCACAAAUACAUAAUUUUAAGUCAGUUAGCAGAAAAUUCCAGCUAACAAUACCUACACUCUCUCUGCCGAUUUCCAUCUCAGAAAGUCAAUCAGCUGUGCCUUAGAGAAGUAACCAUUCUAGUUCAAAUUGUCAUUUUCGUCGUGAUCAGUAAAACACUCUAAAAUUGGAAUGACAAAGUCACCCUCCCUGCUUUCCCAUCCAUUGUCGUCGUCUGUCAUGUCUUUAGUUUCAUCCUUCAGUUCCCUUUCCGUUCUCAACUCUCUGGUAUGCCGGUUCCCCAACAAGAUAAGCUCCAACAUCUUUCUUCUCAAAUCAUAAAUAGGAUUCGGCUCAAUCAAACGCCCUUUACUAUAUGCCUCUCUAAGAAAAACAAUCUCAGUAAUCCCUUUAGUCGAUAUGUAAAAUAUCCCAGGAUGCUUCAACAACAGCUCACGUAUAUUAACUACAAUGUCAAGAUCCUUCUUAAAAUGUGCCAACCUUUCAACCGGCACCGACUUCUCAACAGUCAAGCUCAAAACUUCAUGAAUGACCGCCACAGCUCGCUUCUCAUACCGCUCAACCCCUCCAAAACCACGCUUCCCAAUCACUCCUGACCUCGAUAUCAACUCAUCACACCUUGAAGAUGGUUCCGUUGCUUCAGUCGUUCGUUCUCUUUCGUAAGGCUUAACAUAAGGAAGCCUUUGCCAAUUCUUCAACUUCUCCUUAAAACUUGGUUCUUUCUUAAACAGGAAAUGCAUAUUUAACCUCAAAUUCACUCAACCAUUUCUCAACAUACUCCUUCUUCCUCCAAGAUUCAAUCUUUGCCACCCCAAAACUCUCACUAACACCAUUUCCAUGAAUUAACUCAAUAAUUUCUAAAUCAACCAUCCUAAAAACUUGAUUAUACUUAAUUAUUAUCAAGUCCUUGAAGUUUUCAGGCAAACCCAAUUCAGUCCUCAUUAAUCUAAGAGCAUGCAAAUGUACUCUACCAUUAACAGACAUCAUUAAAAUCUUCCUUAUUCUCAUCACACUUUCCUCUUCAUUUUGUAACACAACAUCUUGUUCUUCCUUAAGAAAAUUUACAAAUUUGUCCCUAAACUUACAACACAAAUUUCGCUUAACAGGGUGUGUAAAUACCUCGAAGAUAUGAGGAUAUUUCCGGAAAAGAUCACCGGCGGCAAUGGUGGUAAUUCCGGCAUGUGGGGCCCAUUUAGAGAGUAACUGAACAGAGACAAAAGGACCGCGCUUUUUAGCGGAUACGAGGUCGUGGAGGUUGAGGAUGAGCUUGAGUCUCCGGUAGUGAGCUGCGAGGUUGUCGAGAUUCGGGUCGCGGACCCGGUUUUCUAAGCGGGUUUGGGCUGAGUUUGCGGGUUUUUUCCACCGGGUUUGGGUCGUGGAGUUGAAUGGUCCGAAUGAAAGUGGAGCUUUUGGAGGUAUAUUCGCCGGUUUCUUCCACCGGAGUUGUAAAACGCCGAUCAUUUUGCCCCUAAAACAAUUAAUAUUAACGGAAAUACCCUUCGACCACACUUUAUCAAUUUAGAACGUAAAUCGCAUUGAUCAGGAACGCGAUUUACGGUCUAUUUGCAUUUAUUUGUUUUUUUAAGUGUAUUUCAGCACUUAUAUGAUGUUUGGGCGAAAUAAAAAUAUAUUUUAGAUAUUUAUUUUUAAGCCAAAGAAAUAAAAACAAGUUAAAAGUCAUAUUCCUUUCUUCCGAUUAUUUUUACUUUUUCAUAUUUGACUUGAAAUGUUUUAAAAUAUAAUAAAUAGAAAUUAAUUUUAUUAUAUCACUCGAAGUCAUCUAAAUAUUAAAAGUAUUUAAUAACAAGGAUAAACAUACACAAAAUGCUAAGUUACAUUUUAAUUUUUUAAAAUUAAACAACUAUUUUAAGGACCCGUUAAACAUAAAAAACAAUUCAAUAUCUUUUAUCAAGUUGUAUUCGGAAAAACAAUCAAAACUACUUUUCACUUUUUAUAUUUUUUCUGAAAAAAUCCUACGUUUGUGAUGUGGAUAGGUAUAAGUUAUAGUACUCGAGUAGCCUGAGACGUAGGAAUAGGGUAGGAAUCUUAAUAAAUGAAGAGCUUAUGGACGGGGUAGUGGAGGUUAGGAGAGUAUAGGUUGAUGUCGAUUAAGCUAGUCAUUGGAGGGUCUAUGAUGAAUGUUAUUAGUGUUUACCCUCUGCACGUAGGCUUGGAUGAGAAGAAGAAUGUCUUUUGGGAGGUAUUAGAUGAGAUGGUGAGAGACGCUCCGAGCUUGGAUAAGCUUUUCGUUAGGGGGAUUUCAAUGGGCAUAUUUGGGAGGUAUAAGAUGAUAGGUUGUGGAUAACGAAUUCAAGCUUUCUGAAGAAGGGGAUCACCUUAUUACCUUUCGUAGUUCGGUGGUCAGGACUCAGAUAGACCUUUUACUCCUUAGAAAGGCUGAUAGAGCAUUAUGUAAAGAUUGUAAAGUCAUAUUUUGCGAGAUUCUUUCGACCCAACACAAGCUUCUGGUGACGGACUUGGUAAUCAGAGAGGGCAGAAAGAAGAGGGGAGUGGAGAACCAACCCAGGAUUAAGUGGGGUAGCUUGACUUUGGCCAGUGCGUCGAAGAUAGAGUAGAGAUUGAUGACUCGGAGGGCUUGGGAGAGUAGAAGAGAUAUGGAUAGUAUGUGGGAGAUGACUAUCAGUUGUAUUAGGGAGAGAACUAAAAAGGUGUUAGGUGUUUCAAGAGGUAGAUCGGGCAAGCACCAAGGGGAUUGAUGGUAGAAUGAAGAAGUCAACAGGAAGGUGGAGAAUAAGAAGGUGGCCCAUGCUAAAUUGGUGGAGAGUAAGGAUGAAGAGUAGAUACAGACGAAUAAAGAGGAGUAUAAGUUAGUUAGGAAAGAGGCUAAGGUAGCAGUUACAACGGCGAAGACAAUGACUUUCGAGAGCUUGUAUACGACUUUAGCAAGUGAAGUAAAUCAAGGGGGGAAGUGUUGGUUGAGGAUGCCCUCAUUCGGAAGGGGUGACAAUCUUAUUUCCAUAGACUUUUGAACGACGAGGGGAUGAAGAUUUCGUGUUGAGGGACUCGGAGAACUCAAAGAAGUGUAGCGAUUAUGGUUAUUGUAGGCGUAUCAAGGUGGAGGAGGUCAAGGAGACUACUUGCAGGAUGUGUAGGGGUAGGGCGACUGGGUCAGACAGAUUCUGGUGGACUUUUGAAAGAGCAAUGACGGGGCAAGUUUGCAGUGGCUGACGCGAUUAUUUAACACAAUUUUUAGGGCCAAAAAAAUGCCCGAAGCGUGGAGAUGGAGUAUGAUGAUUUCUGUAAAUAAGAUAAAUAAGUUGAAUCAAACUCUACAAAAUAAAUUAAAAUAAAAAUAAAUUAUAUCCAAAUACUUUAAUUUUAAUUUAAUUUUAAUUUUAUUCUUCAUAAUUUAUGUUAGAUAAAUACUUAGUUUAUUACGAAUAAAAAUAUUAGUCUUUACUCGGGCAAUAUUGACCAUUUGUCGUCAUUUAGUCCCUAACGCUUCCUUCACCAGCAGUGCCAACCCACCUCAAAGAGAUGGCUUUACUGUUCACCAUCAGCAGCCCUCCCACUACUCGUCUUUACCUUCAUUCAUCCUCUACUUUUGGUCACCCAGGUUAUUUUCUUGAAUUACCUCUUUAUGUGUAUUAAUUCCUCUAUGGUGAUUUUUGUUUCUUGUUGUUUUAACUGAGCUUAUUUUGGGAUUCUUUUAUUUUGUGUUUUGUUGGAGUUUGCAAUUAUUUUCUUUAGGUUCUGAAUUGGAGUGGAAGAUGAGCUACAGGUUUAUUAUGUUCUUUUGCUCUUCAUCCUUGAAGUUAUUGUUGUUUCCUGCUAAAGUUUGUUGCUUUAAGAUGAAUUGAUUAGGGUCUUUACUAGAAUGCUAAUGAGUUAGUUAGUCUUUUGUCAUACCCUACCCUUGUCUAUUUGGAUUUUGGGUCAGUAUGUGCCUAUGUGGGGACGAGCCGAGGGUCUAUUGGAAACAACCUAUGUAGCUCACCUCUGAGGUAGUAGUAUGGACUGCAUAAAUUUUACCCUCCCUAGACCUCACUUUGUGGGUCUGUACUACUGGGUUUGUUGUUGUUGUUGUUGUUGUUGAUGUGGAGAUCUAUGGUGCUUGGACUCUCCAAAAAUGUUGAAACACUCAUGUUAGAUCCUCGAAAAAUGUACUAUUUUUGGAGGAUACGGCAUUCACCCGUUGGUAAUUUGUUGAAGAGUUCUCGGCUUUUUGUAGUUUCUCGUCCUUUGAGUUAGGUUACUAUAUGUUGUUUUUUGUACUUCGAUUAUUGUAUUAUUUUGUAAUUAUAGUUUAGGAUGAUUUGUCAUGUCUUCUAUAAUAAUUUUUUCUUUUUCCAUACUACUUUGGAAUAAGGUUCUAUGGUGUAGUGGUUAGCACUCUGGACUUUGAAUCCAGCAACCUGGGUUCGACUCCCGAUAGGACCUUUACAGGCUUUCCUGGGGGUCUAUCGGAAACAACCUCUCUCUACUUCAUCUGAGUUAGUGGUAUGGACUGCGUACACUUUAUCCCUUGGCCCCACCUUGUCGGAAUACACUGGGUAUGUUGUUGUUGUCUUUUUCUGUACCGCUUUGUACUGUUUUUUCCUUUGAGCUGAGGGUGGUAACAACCUCUCUACCUUCGAGGUAGGGGUGGGGUCUGCGUACAUUCUACCCCCAAACCUCACUAUGUGGGAUUGCACUGAUAUGCUGUUGUGGUUGUAAUUCUAGGCCUCUAGCAAUGGGUGGGGAGUACGAUUGGGUUUUAAAGUUUUUUACAUAUAUAUGUUAUAGUAUGUUGGCGUAAAGGUGCAUCCUUCACUGUUUAUCUUAAAUGUUGGUAUUUGUGUUGUGGGGGUAGACAGACGCGGAUUCAAAUUUGAAGUUUAUGGAUUCCUACACCAAUCUCAAGUUAAUACUAUGAUAAUAACUGUGUUUAUAGUCAUAUACAUGAACCCAUAACCAGGCCUCACAGUCCAUCUUGGGGGCGGAAGGGGGUAGCAAAUCAAGGCCCACCCUUUAUAGUGGUCUUUAUCUUAACAAUAAAAAGGGCAGUCCGGUGCACAAAAGCUACCAUUAUGCGCGGUGUCCGGGGAAGGGCCCCACCUCAAGGAUGUAUUGUACUCAGCCUUACCUUGCACUUCUGCCAGAGGCUGUUUCCAAGGCUUAAACCUAUGACCUCCUGGUCACAUGACAAUAACUUUAUCAGUUACUCCAAUGCUCCCCUUCGGUCUGUAUCUUAACAAUAAUCUGCAAAAUUUGAGGUUAAUGUAUCUUUUUAUGUGAUUGCUUUUGUUUUUUGUUUAUCAUUCUCUAAUGAGGCAAAGUCUUAUAUCAUUCCAUUAAAUACUCAAAUGUUCAUCGUCAUGCAUCUGCAGUGCAGUGUCUUGACUGCUCUUCGUACCUUUGUAAAAUCAGUGGUUAAAUUUGAAAUUGGUCGUCUGAGCCUAAGUUGCUCGGACUCUCCAAAAAUGUUGCCACACCCGUGUCCGAUCCUCCAAAAAUGCACUAUUUUUGAAGGAUCCAACACACACCCGAUGAUAUUUUUGAAGAGUCCGAGCAACAUAGGCCUGAGCUUUCACUAAUAAGUACUAAUUAUUAAAGAACUUUAGAGCCACUGCAUGAGUUAACACCGUGCAUCAUCUUCCUCUCUGUUGUUCAUGUUAUACAACAUAAAAGGUUUUUAACUUUGCAAUUCAUGUUUUAUUAGUCUCCAGGUUCUGCAACAAUCCCAUCGCUUUGCAAACGAAGUCUUAUGUCAAUUACUAUAUUCAAGCACCCUUUAUCUUCAAAGAGAAAAGUGUCUUGUUUGUUAAGGUAGCUACUGAUGUUGAUAACGGGGAUUCUAAUAACACGGAGAGCGAUGAGGAAAGUCUGUCUCUUGAUAACCUGCCAUUGGAAUCUAAGCUUCAACUGAAGCUUGAACAGAAGAUGAAAAUGAAGUUUGCGAAGAACAUCAAACUACGAAGGAAGAAACUAGUUAGGAAGCGCCGCCUUAGGAAGAAGGGGAGAUGGCCACCUUCAAAGUUGAAGAAGAACAAGAAUGUGUAGUCUUAAUUUCCUUCUAUUGUCACAAAUUCGCAAUUCGCUUGCCUUGACGGCAAUUUCUUCAAACUUGUUCAUAAAAAUACAAGGAUAAAUGAGCUUCUGAACUGUGAGUUUGUACUUGUUUAGUUGAUACUUCAUAGACAAGUCUCUUUUUAUUCCUUAGUCAAACCCACUAUUAAUUGGAUUGGCAUAUCCUUGUUCUAAUAUGAUUGGUCUCAUGAUACUCUUUUUCUCUUUUCCUUUUCCUAUUUGAACUAGGAGUUCUUUACGUACUUGUGCUUGUUUCUCCACCAAUCUAUAAAUAAUAACAUACCCACACUAGCACAACAAAGUUUUACAAUUACUCAUAGAGCACAACAAAAUUUUACAAUUACUCAUAGAACGACAAUUUGGCAGCGUGGUGGUGCAAGAAGCAGCGAGAAUAAUUGCUAACAUACCCACACUAGCACAACAAAAUUUUACAAUUACUCAUGGAACGACAAGGUGGUGCAAGAAGCAGCGAGAAUAUGUUCCACAAGAUAUCAUACUUUUGAGGUUGCCGGUAAAAUCUCGCGAUUCAAGUGUGUAUCCAAGUUGUGGUUUUCUGAAAUCUCUAGUUCUCAAUUUGCGAAAGCACAUUAUAAUGUCUCAACUAGUCUCCUAUCGAAUUAUAUAGACUAUUUGUUCCGUCAUGUAUCCAAGUUGUGGUUUUCUGAAAUCUCUAGUUCUCAAUUUGCGAAAGCAUAUUAUAAUGUCUCAACUAGUCUCCUAUCGAAUUAUAUAGAUCCCUCUAGAAUGCAUUUCUUGGUGGCCCAUUGAAGAAUAUAUUCAUGAGAGUUCAGUUCUAGAAAAAAAAAAAUCUGUACUUUCUUGAAAGAACAGAAAUUGUACGCUUGUUUUCACUACUAAGAAUGAAAGAACACGCAUUUCUUGGUGGCCCAUUGAAGAAUAUAUUCAUGAGAGUUCAGUUCUAGAAAAAAAAAAAUCUGUUAAUUGUACGCUUGUUUUCACUACUAAGAAUGAAAGAACACGCCUCUGAUAGGAGAUAGCCUAUCUGCCAUUUUUUUAAUUGUGAAUGGUAAUUUUUCAACAUACAUACAAAAAUAUUAUUUAGUGUUCUAUUUUUAAAAGAUAUAUAGCCUUUAACUUCACGUAUUACUCCCUUCGUCCCAAAUUAUGUGUCAUCAUUUCCUUUUUAAUCCGUCCCAAAAUAAGUAUCGUCUUUUCUUAUUUGGCAACUUUUUAAAGGCACAAUUAUCCUUUUACCCUUAUUGGUCCCACUUAAUUAAAAAAAAAUAUUGACACAUUUUUUGAUAAAGAAUAAUUUGGUAAACUUUACCAAGUCUUCCCUUAUUUCUUAAAUUCCGUGCCCGGUCAAAUGGUGACAAAUAAAAUGAGACGGAGGGAGUAAUAUAUUAAUAUGCUUAUUAAUAAAAGUAAUAUUAGUUUUAGUAAAUAGUAAUAUUAGUUUUAGUAAAUAAGAUGUUAGUCAUUUGUUUGAAAUGCAUAACUUUGGAUAUUGUUGUUAAAACCUUAUUUAUUAAGAUAAAAUUUGAGUUGUUUAGUUUAAAGCUAAAAUAUUUCUUUUAAAAAUGAGAACUUUUUCCUUUUUUUUUUUUAAAAAUUAUUUUUAGAUAAUUUUUAAAAAUGUAUUUCACAAUCUUCAUUAUUAGUCAAGUGAAGUUGAAAUCAUAGAGUUUAUUAUUAAAAUUUUUUAGGUCUCAAAAUUUUAGGGGUCUAAAGCGAAUACUUUACUAGCCUUACCCUUUAGCCACCCCUGAUUUCUUGAAUUGAUGAAGGUUUGGUAAUUUCUUGAAUGGAUAUGGAGGGAGUAAGUACUCUGAAUAAAAAAUAUUAGAUUACAUAUCUAUAUAGGGAGAAAAGGGCAGAAAUGAUCCCUUAACUAUAUAAGUUAGUCUAAAAUGGUCCCUUAACUAUAAACGUAACAGUUUUGGUCCUUUAACUAUCCAAAAAUUUAUCAAGUUUAGUCUUUAUAUAUUCUUGUAUAUUUUUAUACAAACAACCGAAAUUUAUGGGGUGGUGUGGGUGCGGUGCAGUGCGUAUUUUAGAUUAUGCAAUGCAUAUUUUAGGCUAUGUGGGUGAGGUGCGAGUGUGAGGUGGGUUGAAGUAAGUUUUUUCUUUUUUAUGUAGUGGGGGCGGAGUUGAUUGCGGGUAUAUACGGGUUUAAAUUAAAAAAAAAAAUCAAAAUUAUUAUUAUUCUUAUGAAUCUACCUAAAAUUAUAUAUAUUAUUUACUUCAAAUUUUAUUAUACUUAAAACGACGUACCUAACACUAUAAAUAAUAAAUUUCAUAACUUUUUCUUUUCAAAUCAGUAAAAUAAUUUUAUAACUCAAAAUGUCAAAUAAAAGUUUAAAGGUUUUGCUUACUAAAUCACUUUGCAGUGCAUAACUUAUUUAAUUUAUCUAUAUCAAGGACUUCAAAAUAUUGUGGUUUCCAAUGAAGUUAUAAAUUUUAUAAAAUAAAAAUGUGGAGCGGUGCGGUGUGGGUAUUCAUGGGUAUGAGUGCAAGGCGAAUUUAUACGAGUUUAAAGGUGAUGCGGUGCGAUUUUUAGACUCGCGGAUUUAGAAAAAAACUCGCAUCACACCCGCAUCGCACCACCCCAUUGCCAUCCUUAGAACUAGUGUUUAUAUUAAAAAAUAUUCAUAAUGCUGAGAUAAUGUAAUAACAAGGAAAUGACAGAAAAAAUUAAAACACAUGAUCAAUCAAUUAACAAUAGUAUUAUUCACCUCCUCAGUUUGAAAGUGGAUAGCAUACUUCACCAAAUCGAGUUAAUUCGAUAGACUGAUUACGGUGUCUAAAGUGUUGUCUUUUUUAGUUUUAAGCUAUUUUUUGACAAAAGAAAUUCGCGGAAAAGGUGUUGAAGAGAGAGAAACAAUGUAGAAAUAGUGAUGGAGAAAAUCUAACGGAAGUGUGAAUUUCCGUUAAUAUAAAUGCCGGUUGUUUGUAUAAAAAUAUACAAGAAUAUAUAAAGAUUAAACUUGAUAAGUUUUUGGAUAGUUAAAAGACUAAAAUUGUUAAGUUCAUAGUCAAAUACUUGUAGAUAUUAGAGAAAUUUUUAAUAUAUAUAAAGAGUCUGAAUACAAGUUAUGAGUACGUUCCUCUAAGUUAUGUGUUCUAUUAUGAUUUUUCUUCUAGGACUGAAAAAAGGCCUUCGUACUUUAUUAGUAUAUGAAUAUGUAUGUGUAUUUCCUAUAGGUGCUCCCAAAGACAUACAUACAUGUAUAAUUUGAGUUGAAUUCUUAUAGUAUAAAUGUAGAAACACUUUUUGCAGACGAUAUACAUUUGAUUAUUUAUAGGUUCUGAUAGACCCCCCAACUUGAAGUUUUAUGGUUCCCUUUAUAUAUAUAUAUAUAUGUAACUAAAUAUAUCUAAAAUCAAUUAUGUAAGCCAAAUGCCUAAAGAUCCUUAAGUGUGAUAUGGUGGAGCAAACUUCAGCGAGACAAUUGAAUUUAUAACGAGGUGUAUGUGAUGUCCAUAUAUAGAACAAAGAAAAGGAUGGAUGGAAAUCUAGUACUAGUUGAGUAUAUAUUUUAGACUUGUUAGAGUAUGUUAAUAUCAUUAUUCUUAUUGUUAUUAUUAUGUUAUGAAUUUGACUUACUUUUAAUUGUAUUUUAUUUAGAUUUAAUUCUUCAAAUUGUCACUCAACUUAUAGAAGUAUACGACUAAAGUAAUUUUUGAACUUCUUUCGAACAAUACUAUUACUUACCUUAAAGAAAAAUCUCAUUAAAGUAACUUUCGAUUUUUCUUUUCUGAAUAUGAUCAUCAAAUUAUAGAGAAGUAGUCUGACUGUAUCAGUAUUACCACUUUCCAAUCACAUCACACAUGAAAUAAUUAACGAUUGGUAUCAGUAGUACCAUGAGUGGUCAUUUAAUUUUUUUUUUUUUGUUUUCUCAUAAACAGUAAAUGCAAAAAUUAGUAGUAGUAUAAUAUUUCAUCAUUGAGUUUGUAUUAAUUAAUUUUUUUAAGAAAAAGUAACGAAUUUAGUCAAAUUAAAGUUGGAUUUCCUUGUUCUGAUUGGAUUAGUAUGUAGGAUUUCUUUUCCUUUUCCUAAUUGACUAGGGAGUCUUUUUCGUAUCUAUAAAUAAUAAUAAUAAUAAUAGUAAUAAGGUAGCCAGUAGCCACACUAGGUAUUGAAUGGUGACAAGAGAAUUAAAGUUAGUCAUGGAACAACAAUUUUGCAGCGAGGUGAAAGAAGAAGCGCUCUAUUGCGAUUCAAGUGUGUAUCCAAGUUGUGGUUUUCUGAAAUCUUUAGUGCUCAAUUUGCGAAAUCACAUCUCAAUGUCUCAACUAGUCUCCUAUCCAAUUGUAGACUACUUUAUACUGUUCUCCCUCUACCCUAUAUAUGUUCUUUGGACGAUUAAAUAACUCCAAUCCCCCUUGAUCGUAAUUUUAACAACUGGGGUUGUUGUAAUGGAUGGAUUUGCUGCUCCACAGAACCUACAAAGCCAAGGUUGUGGAAUCCAUCAACAAAGAAAGUCCGGUACAUUGGAAGGUCGGGUGCUUAUAAUGAAUGUUCCAAAACUGUGUAUGGAUUCGGGUAUGAUGAAUUAACUGAUGAUUACAAAGUGGUAGAAAUAAUUGAUCCAAGAUUUUUGUGCAGUAUAAACAUUUAUAGUGUAAGGAGGAAGUGUUGGAAGAGGUUAAGUGAGAGUCCCAAAUUAGUUGGUAAAUACUGUUAUCUGGUGAAUGGAGCUCUUCACUGGGAGGCCUUCCCUAAGCACAAUAGGAAAAGGAGUAAUCUUCCUAGUAGUAUUUUAUCGAUAAACCUAUCAACAGAGGCAUACCAAGAGUUGGAUUUCCCUCAACCUGAACAUCAGCUUAGUCAUGAACCAAUCGAUACAAGAAUAGGGGUACUAAAGGAUUGUCUUUGUGUUUGUUUCUACUCUUCUUUCAAUCGAGUGCAAGUCUGGAUGAUGAAGGAAUAUGGUAUGAAAGAAUCGUGGUAUAAGUUUGCGUCCAUUCCACAUAUGUUAGUUAGGGGGCGACAGUGUGUACCACCCAUAUGGUUGUUUGAGAAUGGUGAGAUUCUACUCAUUCAUGGGUAUAAGCUGAUGACUUACAAUCCAAGUGAGGGUAACUUCAAAAGGUGCUUCCGUUCUGCUGAUGCAGAGUGGCGGAAAUGCAACAAUAUUGAUCGAUACAGAUGGGAUAAUCAUCAUAACCUCUUCAAGCGUCCGGAAUGCUAUGUGCAAAGCCUCAUCGAUCUCCCUUAGUUGCCAUAAACUGGGAUUGCCCAACACUUCAUUGCUACAAAAAUAGGACUCAUUUAGUUGACAUCCACUCUUAACACAAGUUUUUAUUUUUAAUACUAUAUAGUAUCAUUCUUCUUCUUCUUCUUCUUCUUUUUUUUGCAUUCUCUUUCUCUUUAUAUCAUAUCAUCAUACUUAUUUGAUACUUGAACUCUACAUAUAAAUGCAACUCAACACAUAUGUAGAAUUCAAUAACAGUAACUACUAAGUCCAAAGAGUCAUCUAAUAGCACUAAAAUCAGAGAGACUAAAUUUGUUUGUGCCAAAAAAUCUUAACCCCACAAUCAGUGUUCUAAUAACAGCAAAGUAAGGAGUAACCAUAGCCUACAAUUAGUGAUACUAUAACAACAACAACAAACCCAGUGUAUUCCCCCACGUAGUGGGGUCUGGGGAGGGUGAAAUGUACGCAGUCCAUACCACUACCUUCGGAGAAGCAGAGAGGCUGUUUCCGGUAGAGCCCCGGCUCAAGACAAAGAAUAAUAAUCAAAGUCGUAAUAACACAUGAAACAAGAAAUAGCAGAAAUAAGACACUCACAAAGUAAUUCCCUACNNNNNNNNNNNNNNNNNNNNNNNNNNNNNNNNNNNNUCCGCUCUAACCUUUGAACAUAGCCCUAAGACUACCGGCCCGGCUAAACCAAAGCUCCCCUAACUACUAGCUACGACUCCCCCACAUGCACUAGCCUUCUAACCUAAUUCGCGUCCUCCAUACCUUCCUAUCUAGGGGCAUGUCUUUGGUAAGUUAUAACUGCUCCAUGUCUCGUCUAAUCACCUCUCUCUUGUAUUUCUUCGUCCUACUCCUACCCCGCUUGAAACCGUCCAAAGCUAGCCUCUCACACCUACGAACUAGGACAUUCGUGCCCCUCCUCAUCACAUGCCUGAACCAUCUCAACCUAACUUCCCGCAUCUUGUCCUCCACCGAAGCCACUCCCACCUUCUCCAAGAAUUUGCCUUUAAGCUUGACCGACACCUUCUUGUCGGACAACACUCCAAAAGCGAGCCUCCACUUCAACCAUCUUGCCCAAUCCUAUGGGAGACAUCUUUGUCAAUCAGUGUCACUAACUAUAUCACAAUUAAUAAAUAAAUAAAACUUUAACUCGUUUGGAUCGAGGAUUAGAAGGUUGUGGUUGUCACCGUCUUUAAUACAACCUCAUCAGUAGUGAUUGACAUUGAAUUAGAGUGCACAUUCAAUCAGUUCAAUCCGCUUUGAGCUAAUUUGAUUUGGUUUACAAGAUUUUUGGUUCAUUGAAUCAAACUAAAACGAGAAGCAUAAACAAGAAAACCAAAAAAGGCAACAGAAAAUGGGACUAAAAUGAAGAACACCAAGACUAAAGAACCAUGAAAACAAAAUAAAAGUGAUACUAUUCAUUCAUUACAGGCAUUUUCGUCGAUAAUAGAUUUUUAGAAUGAAGAUUCAAUGUCUGGAGCAAUUGUUACGGUACUAGUGCUGAUGGAUAUUCUUAACAAAUCAAUUGAAGGGAUAGAACAUGGUAAACAAAUCAAUUAAAGUGAUAGAAUAUGGUAAGAGUACAACAUCCAUGUUUUUGCCAACUUUAUCGAGCAUUGUCUUAACUGGUGCAAUCUGCAUAAAGUAACAUAACAAGAUUUCAAUGAAAACAUUCACCAAAUCAAAGGAAAUAAUCAGAUAAAAGGUUGUCUGUGAACCUUUUUAGGAUCUGUGAAAGAAUUCUCAUCUAUCACAUUGCUAGAUGUUAAUAUAGUUUUUGUCGAUGAGUCAUCCAUCUCGUUGCUAGAUGUUAAUAUAGUUUUUGUUGCCCCAUGUUGGAGAUAAGGUAAUAACUGAAGAUAAGAGGGAGAAGAAAGGAAUCCUUCAGCUCACAACAUCUGCAGCUCAAAAGAUCUAUAUCUCACACUGAAGAUGCAAUAUACAAUUGUCAAUACAAGCUGUAAAAGUGGAAAAAUCUGCACAUGCUCUAGCUGAAAAAUCUGCACAUACAAGCUGUAAUACUAGAAAAUCUGCACCAACACAUGUGGACUUGCUGCUACUGCACAUACAAGCUGUAAUACUAGAAAAUCUGCACACGUGCAAGCUGGAAAAUCUGCACCAACCCAUGUGGACUUGCUGCUACUUUUCCAAUUCAUUUAUUCUGUUAUUACAUUUCUUUUUUCAGCAUAUACAUGUAUAAAUAGUGGUAGGAUUAUGUACAUUGAACACAAGGGAAAUAGAGAAAACUUUCCAUACAAUCUCUCUUACAUUCUUUCACCCCAGAUGACUGCAACAGUGAGUUCUCCAAUCCACUGAUAGAGAUAUUAAGUGUGACUGUGUUGUUCCCAAAGUUCACAACCUACAAAAUGAGUCAACGAUAACAACAACAUCACUCACUGUAAUCCCACAAGUGAGGUCCGGGAUCUUUGACAGAUGGAGGCUAAGUUGUGUAUCUGCAAAAGGAACAGCAGCAAUAACCGAGCACUAUAACGUAUAAAACAAAGAGCAAUCUAGUUGGUUGGUUCAUCUAGUUUGUUCAUAGAGUUCUAAAUGAAGUAUGAAUCAAGAAAAUGUAAGUCAUGAAAGGCGCUAAUGAUAAACGUCAAGAAAAUCUCCACCUUUAUUCUUAUGUAGUCAUUGCCAUCAGUCUCAUUUCACCAUUUGAUGGCAGAUGCUAUUAGUGAAUUCGAAAGAUUAUUAUCUUGGAGUGUUGAGUCUAGAAGAGUUGCACCAUUUGACUCUUUGAAGAAGUGCUGCAUCCAGUAACUAGGGGUUCCAUACACCUGUGAAGUAGUGAAAACAAUAGUGUCUGGUGUCCACCUAAACAAACGAGACUCAUUUCGCAGAGAUGAUUCAGUUUUGAAGAAAAAGAGAACGAGAGUAGAAGAAGAAAAAAUACCAAACAUACCUCCGGUUGUUGUUGUUAACAAAUAGGGGUGCAUAACUUGCCAUUUCGAUUACAUCACUGCACAAGGAUAAAUAACAGGUUAUCGUUGAACAAACAACAUAUACUAUAGGGAGCGCUUUAACGUCCUACCCCAACCCUCUUACGAGUACCUGUUUUUUCUACUCCGAUAAGGAAUCCAGCUUCAGCAAGUGCUGCUAACAGAUUACCGUUUCCAGCAUCAUCUUUAGUAGCAUACUCACUAAUAAAAGCCUGUGUAAAUAAAGAUAAACAGUAUACACGAGCACCAUUUAAAAAAAAAUGCAUUAGAUAAAUCAUCAAAGGGAACAUUUAACGUACAUUUGGUCCACUGCACGACGCACCAUUGAAACGGCUGGCAUUAGAAAACACAUCAUUUGCACUUGCACAAAGCUAAACAUAGAGACAUCAUAAAGUUAAAGCUCAAAUUUACAUAUGCAUUCUGUAAGUUAGACUUUUAACAACACCAAAAUCUUACAUGAAAAUCAUAUAAAUCAGCCGGGUGAUCCAGUAGUUUGGAAGAACCAUCACAGUUGAAGAUUAUCUUAAUAUCUGGGUAGGCUUUUUUGAUUUCUGAAUGCAACUUGUGUUGGGAAUAAAUCCCGCCACGUUAAUAAUAUUGCGGUAAUAAAGAACAAAAAUUAUGGCAACAUUAAUACAAGAAAAUAACAAGACCAAUAAGAGCGAUAGUGACACCAAGAUUUUUACGUGGAAACCCAAUGAGGGAAAAACCACGGGCCAAGAGGAGCUACUGAUAUCUCUGUAAUAAGAAAUUUCACACCGUAAUCACAAGUACAAUACUCAAAGUGACUACUGCACACUCAAAAGAAAUCUCUCUUUUGAUUUUUCCACCUCACUACAAUAUCGCUCACACUCUUUAUUUUUCCUCACGGACUAAACUCUCUGUGAUGCCUCACUUUCUUUUGUUUCUCUCUUUGUUGGUGUGAUUAAGUGAGCUGAAAUUGCCUCUAUUUAUAGGCAAGAAAUACCCUCUAUUGAUGUCAUUCAUGACAUCAAAUCCCAACAUAUGAAUACACUUUCUUGAAAGGCCAAAGGCCAAAUUGCCAAAGGCCAAUUUGCCAAAGGCCAAUUGACAAAGUAAUAGUUAGGUAUGCACAAAAUCUUGACCAGAUUUUUCUGCUUAUGAACAUGGUCUGGACACUACAAAUCUCCCCCUCCAGUCCUAUGCAUCUGAAGGAGGUAUCCUCGUUCUUCUCAGAAAGAGCUCAUUCCGACAAGUUCUUUGCACAAUUCGAACUUGUCUUUUGGAACCACCUUUAUCAGCAUAUCCACAGGAUUGUCACUGGUCUGAAUCUUCUUGACAUAGAAUGAUUCGUUCUCCACUUGUUCACGAAUCCAAUGGUACCUCACAUCAAUGUGUUUUGUUCUUGCAUGGUACAUGGAGUUCAUGCUCAAAUCUAUUGCACUUUGGCUGUCACAAUAGAGAACGUGCUCCAUUUGCUGCAAUUCAAGUUCUUGAAGAAAUCGUUUCAGCCAUACCAUCUCCUUGCCAGCUUCAGUAGCUGUAAUAUACUCUGCUUCAGUUUUAGAGACUGCGACACACUUCUGCAACUUCGACUGCCAUGAUAUAGCUCCUCCUGAAAAUGUAAACAAAAAUCCAGUAGAAGAUUUUUUGUUAUCAAGAUCACCUGCCAUAUCAGCAUCUGUAUAGCCCUUCAAGAUUGUACCAGCUCCACCAAAACACAAACAGUCUCCUGAGGUUCCUCUUAGGUACCUCAAUAUCCAUUUAACUGCUUCCCAGUGCUCCUUUCCUGGAUUUUCAAGAAACUUGCUAACAACACCAACUGCAUGAGCAAUAUCCGGUCUCGUACACACCAUAGUAUACAUCAAACUCCCUCCUGUGAAUAAUAAGGAACAUUAGCCAUAUUUCCUUUCUCUUCCUUUGUUGUAGGACACGUUUUCUUUCUUAACUUUAGAUGACCAGCAAGAGGUGUGCUAACAACUUUAGCACUCUUCAUGUUGAAUCAUUCGAGUACAUUUUCCAUGUACUUCUCCUGAGAUAGCCACAACUUUCUGCUUGUUCGUUCUCAAACAAUCUUCAUCUUCAGAAUUUGUUGUGCUGGGCCCAAGUCCUUCAUGUCAAAUGACUUGGACAAAUCUCUCUUCAACUUGGCAAUCAGCUCCUUGUCUUGUCCUACAAUCAACAUGUAAUCCACAUACAACAACAAAAUAAUAAAGUUGUUGUUCGAAAAUCUUUUGAAGUAUACACAUGGAUCAGAAUAAGUCCUUUUAUAGGUUUGACUUUGCAUGAAUGAGUCAAACUUCUUGUACCACUGCCUUGGUUCCUGCUUCAAUCCAUAAAGGCUUUUAUUCAUUUUACAGACCAUGUGUUUCUUUUCAUCUACUUCAAAUCCUUUUGGCUGGUCCAUAUAGUUUUGUUCUUCCAAAUCUCCAUGAAGAAAUGCAGUUUUUACAUCCAACUGCUCCACUUCAAGAUCUAGGCUAGCUGCUAAGCUCAAAAUGGUUCGAAUAGAAGUCAUUUUGACAACGGGUGAGAAGAUUUCAUCAAAAAUCAAUACCUUUUUUCUGUUCGAAGACUUUUACCACCAAUCGAGCUUUAUAUCUGACCAGCUUGCCAUUUCUAUCUUUCUUGAGUUUAAAGACCCACUUGCACUUAAGUGGUCUUUUACCCUUUGGAAGUUCAACCAGCUUGUACGUGCCAUUUUGCUGCAAAGAUUCCAUCUCUUCUUGUAUUGCUUCCAUCCACUGAUUCUUUUUUGGAUGGACCAACACCUCCUUUAGACUUUCUGGCUCCCCCUCAUCAUUGAUAAGGACAUAUUCUAAGGAAGGGUACUUGGAUGACUCUACCCUUUGCCUCUCGGACCUCCUCAAAGGUUGAGAUUGUUGUUCUUCUUGAGUAGGGUGCUCCACCUGCUCAGCAUCAGGUUGCUCCCCCUGAUCGGCAUAAUCAUUAGGUUGCUCCCCCUGCUCGGCAACCUCAUCAGCUGUACUUUCUGCACUUCUAGGAUGAACAGAGGUGGAAGGAAUGGUAAUAACAUUAGGGACUACACCAUUGACCUUCUCUAAUACGUCAUCAGCAAUUUUGACUUCACUUUCUCGAAAGACUACAUCUCUGCUUCUGAUGACCUUCUUCUUUACAGGAUCCCACAAUCUGUACUCAAAUUCUUUAUCUCCAUAUUCGAUGAAUACGCAAGGAACUGAUUUAUCAUCUAGUUUUGUUCUAUGCUCUUUCGGUACAUGUGCAAAAGCUCUGCAAUCGAACACCUUCAGAUGAGAGUAGGACACCUCUUUGUUGGUCCAAACUCUCUCUGGGAUGUCAAACUCCAAUGGAACUAAUGGACUACGAUUGAUCAGGUAGCAGGCCGCCUGAAUUGCUUCACCCCCGAAAUGACUUAGGCAGUUUAGCCAUUUUGAGCAUGCUUCUCACUUUCUCAACAAUGGUGCGAUUCAUUCGCUCAGCUACACCAUUGUGUUGUGGGGUUCCAGGAACUGUCUUCUCAUGUCUGAUCCCGUGACUUGAACAAUACUCUUUAAAUUCCCUUGAAGUGUACUCACCUCCAUUGUCAGUGCGGAGACGCUUUAGCUUUCGACCCAUCUCCCUUUCCACCAGAGCAUGAUACUUUUGGAAUACUUGAAAUACCUGAUCUUUGGUUUUCAAGAUAUAAACCCACAAUUUUCGUGAAGCAUCAUCAAUAAAAGUAACAAAAUAUUUGUUACUGCCCAUCGAUUCUAUCUCUAUUGGACCACAAACAUCAGAAUAUACCAGGUCAAGUAUAUUCAAUUUUCUUUCAGACUAUGUCUGAAAUGAAACUCUAUGCUGCUUACCGAAUAAGCAGUGGUCACAUGAUUUUGCCGUCGUACCUUUUGAAAAAGAGAUGAGUGAUUUCUUAGCGAGGAUUUCUAAUCCUUUCUCGCUCAUAUGACCCCUUCUUUUGUGCCACAAAUCUGCAGAGAUCUCUUCUCGAACUGCAUUCAAUUCACCUCAGCAAAUUUCUGCAUUUGUCCUACACAACAUGCCACAAGCAACUCCUUUUGCGAUCAGCAAUGCUCCCUUGGUGAGUUUCCAUUUUUGAUUUGCAAAAUAGUUCUCGUAUCCAUCUCGAUCCAAAGCAAUUUUGGAGAUCAAGUUCAACCGCAAAUUGGGUACAUGACGCACAUCUUUUAGAACCAAUGUGCAUCUAACAUUAGUCUUGAUACUAAUGUCUCUGAUCCCCACAAUCUUUGAAUAACUUGAGUUACCCAUUUUCACAGUGACAAAAUCACCUGCUUUAUACUUGCAGAAAAGAUCCCUUACCGGUGUAGCAUGGUAAGAUGCUGCUGUGUCAACCACCAAUUCCGUCUUUGUCUCUGCCAAGUGCAUGCACUCCUCUUCCUCAUUUAUGAAGAGAACAUCAUCAUCAUUAUUUUGCACUGUGGCAGUAGUGUUGUCGUCAUUCUUCUGGCCACUACUUUCACCUUUGUCCUUUUUCAGAUUUGGACAAUCUUUUUUGAAGUGACCUGGUUGAUUGCAGUUGUAGCACUUUCUGACUUUUGAUUUGGAUCGGAACUUGGACUUUCCACGACCUUCGGUUCUACCAUAACUAUCUGAACUCCUUUGAUUACUUCUGCCUCUACUUUCUGUGAUGAGAGUCUGCCCAUGAUUUUCAGGCUUAUUUCUCAUCUUCUCAUGGAGUAGAAGAGCUGAUGUGACAUCUUUCAGCUCAAUAAAGUCCUUGCCAUGUAAAAUGGUUGUUGCCAAAGUAUCAUAAGAAGAUGGCAACGAGUUCAAUCGUAUGAUGACUUUAUCUUCCUCCUCGAUCUUUACACCGAGGUUAGCCAACUGCGUGAUCAGUCCAUUAAGCACAUUUAAAUGUGACAAGAAAUUUGUACCUUCACCCAUAUGUAGGGCGUACAACUGCUUCUUUAGGUACAAUUUAUUUGUCAGCGUUUUGGACAUGUAGAGAUUUUCUAACUUUGUCCAAAUAUCACAUGCACUAUCUUCGUCGCUGAUGUUAUUGACCAAAUCAUCUGUUAAAUGCAACCUGAUUGCACUAGCAGCCUUUUCAUCCAUUUCUUCCCAAUCCUCCAGUUUCAUGGAUUCGGGCUUUUUGGACUUGCCACUUAGUGCCUUGUGUAAUCCUUGUUGGAUAAGCAGAUCCCUCAUCCUCCUCUGCCAUGUUGAGAAACCGCUAUCACCGUUGAAUUUUGCUACCUCGUACUUUACUCCGGACAUUUUAUUUUUACCGAGUAUAGUACCACCAACCGCAAAUAUUAUUUUUGUGAAAAAGCAGAACCUGCGCUUUGAUACCAGGUGUUGGGAAUAAAUCCCGCCACGUUAAUAAUUUGCGGUAAUAAAGAACAAAAAUUAUGGCAACAGUAAUACAAGAAAACAACAAGAACAAUAAGAGCGAUAGUGACACCAAAAUUUUUACGUGGAAACCCAAUGAGGGAAAAACCACGAGCCAAGAGGAGCUACUGAUAUCUCUGUAAUAAGGAAUUUCACACCUUAAUUACAAGUACAGUACUCAAAGUGACUAUUGCACACUCAAGAGAAAUCUCUCUUUUAAUUUUUCCACCUCACUACAAUAUCGUUCACAUUCUCUAUUUUUCCUCACAGACUAAACUCUCUGUGAUGCCCCACUCUUCUUUUGUUUCUCUCUUUGUUGGUGUGAUUAAGUGAGCUGAAAUUGCCUCUAUUUAUAGGCAAGAAAUACCCUCUAUUGAUGUCAUUCAUGACAUCAAAACCCAACAAAUGAAUAAACUUUCUUGAAAGGCCAAAGGCCAAUUGACAAAGUAAGAGUUAGGAAUGCAGAAAAUCUUGACCAGAUUUUUCUGCUUAUGAACAUGGGCUGGACACUACAACUUGAGGUAGUUUCCUGAAUAUUUACAAAGAUUUCAGGUCUUGACUCGAUCCUCAAAAUUCAUUGGAGUCUAUGAACCCCGUGCAACUAUAGAACAUAGAACAAAUUAUGUGAUCUGUGACAAAUACAAUGAGGUUUGCAUACCCUUGUACUGUGGGAAUUUCUUUGCACAAUCUUCAUUUCCAACAGCGACAUAUCUCAAAUCAAAGGGCUCUGGAUGUCCCAUUGCAGCUCGAACCGAACCCCAUGUUGAGUUAGAAGCACCCCUUGAAAAUUCAAUACCAUCUAAGGUAUCCUGGAUCAGACAACAACAAAAUAUGCUUAUAAAACCUAAGAAGAGUGCUUAAUCUGCAACAUAUAUCCACAGUUUUUCUUAAUGUAUGUGGUACAGGCCAAGUAAUGUACAUGUCAUGUGUAUGCAGUGAAAGUUCAGGAAACCUACUUGCACGAAAGGUGAGAUAUUGGAAGUGUUAACUUGUUCUUCAUGGCUGAUUCCUGAAAAUAACCAACUUGUAGAGAAAACUUAUUAAUUGCAUGAAGAGAACACAGACUAAAAUAAAAUAAUAAUGCACCACAGAAAGUGGAGGAGAUAGAUACCGCUGUUGAAAACCCAGACUGGCAACGCACCCAAGUCCUCAGCAAGCUGCAGCAAGAAAGGACUCGAGUAAGGAACAUCCAUAAGCAUACCGUACUCAUGUUAAGAGAAUUCUUGGUUUAGUUCUUCACCUUAACGACAAAAAAUAGAAAAUACGAUUGAUCAAAUCCUACAUAGGACAGACUAACUACACAGGAUCAAGAAUUUGACUAGCCACAAUUUGAUAAAACAACUACAUAGAUAUCCUGCUGAGUGAAAGAACAUCAAAAGUUUGUGAGAAAGCAACAAGUACUACAAAGAAUUGGAAAAAAGUCCAUAGUUGAUAACACAAAAGGUGAAUCAUUUUUCACCUGAAAAUGCCUAACACUACAAGCACAAAGCAAUAUAUAUUAGUGGAGAAUGAUGAAGGAUGAGUUAUUAAUUAUACAGAAAUAUCACUCUUCUGCAUGCCUAAUUGUUGUGUACUCAUUCAAGAUUUUAGCAUGUCUAUAUAUAGAGAAAUUUGGCUGAAGGAUUUAAGUAUGGUGAAGGGAGAAGAAACAAUUCAAUUCUUGAAAUUCCCUUUUGCUUUCACAUAAACAUUUUUUACUUUGAUUUGACACGGAGUUUUAAGAAGUUACAAGCAGAUAUUCAGGAAUAAUAUGAUAAAUUUUAUUUUUUUUAAAAAAGCAUUGACAUGUUAUAUCUGAUUAAAUUUAAUGUAUGCAGUUCAAUUUUUACAUGUAGAUAUAUGUAACUUAAAUUUGCUAAAAUUAUAACUAGCCUGUUAAAAUUGAAGCAACUUUGUUGCUUUUUCAACUAAGCAAACUUAUCUAGGCAUUAUAUGAAUCUUUCAAAAAAUUGUCAUUAUUCAAAUAAAGUUGAGAUAGGUUAUAAAUAUUUGUUUAGUACCAAAUCAGUCAAGAUUUGAUAAUUGGAAUCUUUUAUACUCAUUUUAUUUUAUUUAGAUCAACAAUUAUAGAUUACUGCAUAAAGAAAAACCACACCAUAACAAACUCAAGUGACAAAGUUGAAGAAAAAUACUAAAAUUGUAAUGUUAUGGAGCAAACUAACACUCCAUGUAUUCUAUUUGUAUUGAUAUUAUAAAAAAAUCUUUUAGGCAAGAAGUUUUGCUGGUUUUCUGCUCACUCAAUUUCUUCAACUUGUUAAUAGAAAUUUAAGGAUUAAUUUUCUUUUAUUCCAGUUUGAUUUCUUAAAUUUUGUGGUAUAGAUGGGUGUUUGAGUUUGUACUUGAUAGAGAAGGCUCUUUCUAUUCCAUUUGAUGUUGAUUCUGAAAUAUUUCCAUGGAAACAAUCCUUUGAGACAGCAAGAUUGUCAAUCAAAUGGAUGUUAUUCUGUGCUAUAUGGAACUUUUCUUUGGUUGCUUUUGUUCUGAGCUAUGUUGUUCGGUGACUGACUCUUCAAAAAUAUUGACAGAUGCAUGUCGGUGUUACUUUUAGUAUAUGCAUUUCGGGUACACAGAAUAUGUAUAUGUAGAACAACAAUUUCAACUUUAGCUCUAUGUUUAAAAACAAGAACACAAUGAAGUGCAGAAAAUACCCUCAACACAAGAUCAAAUGAUCUUUCCAAGAGGUGUAUUUUAUUUUUAGAAACAAAGAUGAAACAGAAAUGGCCAAGUUGUCCGAAUUCACGGAGUUUCCUUAAGAAAAUAAUUCCCCUUACUGUACUCGAGGUUGUGGAAUUUUUCCUCCCACAAUAAAAUGGCCAAACAAACCAACUGUAGCGGUACCUCAAACAAUUGGAAUAUCUUCGAACUCACUGAACGUUUUGAGUGAUCACACAAAAUAUUUUUAAGACAAGAAGAACGAUUUACAUCAAAGGUUACACCCUUUCUGUAAGUUCACGUCUGUUCAUCAAAGAGUGCAUCUUUUCCUGAACAGUCAUCUCAUUUCACGAAUCAGUGUGUCAAAGGUAGAUCUCAUUGAUCGAUCAUUUGCCAAAUCCGAAGCCGAAGCCGAGCGACGACGACGACUGCGCGAGGUAUCUCUUAUUUCUUGCCUCACUUACCAUGUGGAGUAAGUGAUCUUGAUUAUAAACACUUCCAAGUUCUCUUCUUCCACCAAUGUGGGAGAAAGAGUAAACUUUCUAAUUUGGGAGUACACUUUUUAUUUUAGUAUUUCCUUGCCUCCACCAUUUUACUCUCCAUUUUUUCCAUUCACACUUCUUUUAUAUACUAUGAACCCAACAAUCCCCCACAUGAAUGGGGAAUGCCUAUUUUUUCUUAAAAAUUUUAUGGACAAGUAUGUGAUCAUCAAGCAAAGACUAAUUGCAUUUGGAUAAGUGGGUUUCCCUUUGAACUUUUCGUCGUGAAAAUGCAUCGGAUGUACUCGGUCAAUCGGUAGAUUUGAUAUCUUUGAACCGUCGAUCUUUAAUGUACACCUAGACAACACAUGUCACACAACCAGCCUUUUACCGUUUAUGGUUCUCACGAUUUUGUUCUUUUCAGCCAUGAACGCGUCCUGAUUUCAUGAGAGCAUAGAGAAUAGGCUUUUACUAACAUUCUCCUUGAAGCGGCUUCCACUUCGCCCUCACAUAGGUGAUUUCUAAACAUUUAAUCCUAUAGAUUAAACUAUUUGGUCAAAUAUGCCAAAUUUAGAUAAUCAUUAAAAGACUUCUCACCUUAAGUAUUAUCCUUAUUUACUAAACAUUGUCUACAUCAUGAGAAUGGGUUGUGUAAUUGACAACGUUGAACCCGUCAGACACAACUUUGUUUGAUCUCCUUGAACCUAACUUUUGGGAUCUCCAGUCUACUAGGUAGAGUUACCGUCAUGCUAGAGUUACCGUUAUGCUAACUUGUCCUAGGCCUUAAAUCCAUUCCCUUAGAUGUCCUUUCCACUCCUUCUCUAGAUAGGAUUUUUGUAAGCGGAUCCGACACAUUAUCCUUUUGACUUUACAUAGUCAACAGUGAUAAUUCUACUAGAGAGAAGUUCCCUAAUGGUAUUAUGUCUCCAUCGUAUGUGAUGAGGUUUACUGUUGUACAUCAUGCUCCCUGCCUACCUAUUUUCGUUUGGCUAUCACAGUGUAUAAAUAUUGGUGCCACUGGCUUGGGCCAAUACGGAAUAUCUUCCAAGAAAUUUUAGAGCCAUUCUUCUUCUUCACCGGCUUUAUCCAAUGCGAUAAAUUAAAAUUCCACUGUAGAGCGAGAAAUACAUGUCUGUUUGGAUGAUUUUCAGGAGACUGCUUCUCCACCGAUAGUAAAUACAUAUCCACUUGUGGAUUUUACUUCGUUCGAUUCGGUGAUCCAAUUUGCAUCACUAUAUCCUUCAAGUACCGAAGGAUAUUUAUUGUAAUACAAGGCAUAGUCUUGAGUGUAUUUAAGAUACCCCAAAACUCUUUUCAUUGCCAUCCAAUGAGUUUUGUUGGGAUUACUCGUAUGCCGACUCAAUUUACUAAUAGCGCAUGCUAUGUCUGUUUGUGUACAGUUCAUUAUAUACAUUAAACAUCCCAAUACUCUUAUGUACUCCAAUUGUGAGUCACUUUCACCUUCAUUCUUUCGAAGUGCAAAGCUCACAUCUAAUGUGAGUCUUAGCUAUACCGAAUUCCAUAUACUUGAAUUUGACAAGUACAUUUUUGAUAUAAUGAGACUGUGACAAUGCCAACCCUUGUGGAGUUCUAUGGAUUCUUAUACCUAAGAUCAAAUCCGCAACUCCAAGGUCUUUCAUAUCGAAUUUGCUCUCAAACAUUCGUUUUGUAACAUUUAUGUCAGAAAUGUCUCUACUAAUUAUCAACAUAUCAUCCACAUAUAAACAAAAAAUGACUUGGUGAUUUGGAGUGUCUUUAAUAUAAACACAUUUAUCACAUUCAUUUAUCUUGAACCCGUUUACCAACAUGGUUUCGUCAAACUUUGCAUGCCACUAUUUAGGUGCUUGUUUUAGUCCAUACAACGACUUAAUAAGUUUACACACCUUAUUCUCCUUUUCUGGAACCACAAAAUCCUCAGGUUGUUCCAUGUAAAUUUCUUCCUCCAAUUCUCCAUUUAGGAAUGCGGCUUUCACAUCCAUUUGAUGGAUUUGAAGAUCAUAUACCGACGCCAAGGCAAUUAACAUUCGAAUCGAGGUUAUCCUUGUUACUGGCGAGUAUGUAUCAAAGUAAUCAAGACCCUCCUUUUGUUUGAAGCCUUUUACUACAAGUCUUGCCUUGUAUUUGUCAAUAGUACCAUCCGCUUUUAUUUUUCUUUUGCAGAUCCAUUUAGAACCUAAAGGUUUAUUUCCUGGAGGAAGAUCAACCAAUUCCCAUGUAUGGUUGCUUAAGAUUGAAUCAAUCUCACUAUUGACUGCUUUUUUCCCAAAAGGAUGUGUCUGACGAUGACAUCGCUUCUUUAAACGUUUGAGGCUCAUUUUCUAAGAGAAAUGUUAUAAAAUUUGAUCCAAACAAAGUUGACUUUCUUUUACGUGUACUACGCCUUGGAUUUUCUUCAUUAUGUACAUUCUCACUUGGUUCAUCUCGAGGUCAUUUAGAUCCUCCACUAGACUGUUCAUGUCUAAGUUUAUACGGAUAAAUAUUUUCAAAUAAUUCAACAUUAUCUGAUUCAAUUACUGUAUUUUCAUUUAUAUACAGAUGUUCGAAUUUAUGAACCAAAAAUUGACAUGCUUUACUACUUUUAGCAUAUCCUAUGAACACGCUGUCCACCGUCUUAGGUCCUAUCUUAACCCUUUUAAGUAUAGGAACUUGGACCUUCGCUAGACACCCCCACACUUUGAAAUAUUUUAAGUUGGGUUUCAUUCCUUUCCAUUUUUCAUAAGGAAUUGAUUGUGUCUUACUAUGGGGAACUCUAUUGAGUAUACUGUUGGCUAUAAGGAUAACCUUCCCCCACAAGUUUUACGGUAAAUCGGAACUUAUAAGUAAGGCAUUCAUCAUUUCCUUCAGAGUUUGAUUUUCCUUUCCGCAAUUCCAUUAGAUUGAGGUGAAUACGGGGCCGUAUUUUGAUGGAUAAUUCCAUUCUCUACACAUAUUUUGGCGAAGGGAGAUUUAUAUUCUCCACCCCUAUCACUUCUUAUCAUUUUAAUCUUUUUGUCUUCAGUUUUGUAUUGCUUAAACACAUCUAUUGCUUCAUCCUUACUAUUUAGCAAGUAGAUAUAACAAUAUCUAGUGCUAUCGUCAAAGAAAGUUAUGAAAUAAUUUUUCUCACCACGUGAUGGUGUUGACUUCAUAUCACAAAUGUCAGUGUGUAUUAUGUCUAAGGGAUUGAAAUUUCUUUCAACGGACUUGUAAGGAUGCUUUGCAUACUUUGAUUCCACACACGUUCGACUCUUUGAUUUAAUGCACUCAAAGUUUGGCAAAACUUCUAAGUUAAUCAGUUUUCGUAAUGUUUUGUAAUUAACUGUCACGAUCCGAACUAGGGCCUAGCCGUGGCGGACAUCCCGAACCAGGAAGGCCCAGAACGCCCUUCUUUAUCUGGUAAUCUUGCACACAAUUCAUAUACAAAAAGAAAAUGCGGAAUUAUACAUCGAAUACGGAAACAUGGUCAUACUCUGAAAUUAAUUUAACAAUGAAGGAAAACUCCAACAAUAUCUAAACAUCAUUUGACUCAGUCUGCGAAAUCUCUACUACAUGAAAAUCUGGCGACGGUCUAAAGCAGAGACAAGGCCCCAGUAGACCAAAACUGAAAUAAGUGUCAUGAUCUGAAAAGACAGACCUUCUGGAAUAGAGAAGGCUCACUACUGCACAAUCUGAUCACCUAUCGGAAAUAUCUACUACUUAUCUGGACCCCUAGACUGAACCUCAGAACCUGGAGGAAGGAGGGAGGUCAAUACAGAUGUACUGGUACGCAGAGCACAUCCAAAAUGAUCAUUUAUUAUUCAACAUAUAUGAGAGCAAAUUUUAAAACAGUUCAUAAGUAUAUCAUAUAGUCGGAAAAUCACAUGGGCAUCUCAAAAUACUCUGUAAAAAUCAUCACAACUCUGAGAAAUCUAUAUUACUCUUGCGUUAGGUGGUAUACCCUACAAUUAUGAAAAUUCCAUGGGCUAUAUGGAAACUGCCAUUAACUCGACAAUGAAGCCCCCAACCCAAUUGUGCCACAAGGGUCGGAGUCUCUAACUCUACUACGCCACACGGCAGUCGCCAGCAUACAAUAAUAAUCUACCUGUAUCGGCAAAUACGAUUUCAGGCUAGGAGUUAUUUGAACUCGCGCCUUCUUCGGGUAACCACCUAACCCUCUUUAAGCCCCUUUUAAACACUCUAUGAAAACAUGCAUGCUCUGAAAACAUACUCUGUUAUGGCAUAAAUAUAUAUGGUAUCGUCAUACCAUUGACUUGCAAGUCACAUCUCUGAGCCAUAAUUAGUCUAUCAUAAAUCUCUGUUUUCAAAACACAAGUUUUGGGACCACCAUUUCAAUAAUUCAAUUCAAGAAAUUCUUUCUCAAACUUCAUGUAAAACACAUGCAAGGAACUUAUCUUUGUCAAACAUUUCAAUAGUACAAUACAAGGUGGUCAUGUCAAAGUUCUCAAUUCACAUGCACUUCUUUCUUUUAAACACAAGAACACACAUAUAUAUCAAGAACCACCCUCUCACAAUUUCAAAUUAUGAUCAAAUGCAAUAAUAUUGCGAAAACAUCUUUCAAAUCACAAAACCAUAAUCCUUAAUUCGAUACACGAGAGGGAGUUCAUAAUUUAUGCUCUCAAACAAUCUUAGAUCUCGAAUUCCAUACAUACACAUAUACAUGUAAAUCAAUUUAGGGGAUAGGACCACAAGGUCAAAACAAUAACAACAUUGAAACUUUCAAAUUACAGAAUCAACAAUAUAGUUUUUCAAAACCCCCAUAAAAUACAUGCAUCAAAACCUUAAAGUCAUGUUCUAAUGGUUUUAAGACCAUGUAGUUUUUAGGAUAACCCCACGUACCUCUAUUUUGAAAAAUAAUGGAUGAUUCUUGAAGCUUACGGAUUGGGAAUUCCAAAUCUCUAAUUAUCUUCUAAAACCCAUGGUUGAAUCUUGAGUUAUUUGGGAAUCUUGUUUGAAACUCUAGGGAGUGUUCUUGAAGAAAAUUGAGAGAAAUAUGAGUAAUGUGGUGUUUUGGGGUUGAAAUUCAGUGUUUAGGCUGAAUUAAUAGGGGUGGAAUUGACCCAAAUGCGCUGACUGCAGAAAAAUAUACUACUGCCUCUCACGAAAAUGACCAUAACUUUUUGCUUGAUUGGCGGAUUUAUGCGAAAUUAGUAUCGUUGGAAAGAUACUUCGAAGACCUUUCAUUUGAUAUAUAGUAGGUCACACAUCUCACUAUACAAUAGAAGUUAUACUCAAUGAAAAUUGACGCAAGUUGAAGUGUCCACUAAAACUAAAUCGCUGGAAUUGUUUUCAACUCGUCUUUGAGUUAGGGGACCUCUAUGACCUCAAUACAUGCUCAAAUAGGUUCCCACACUACAUAAUAUAUUAACAUACAAAAUUUGCAUAGGAUUUAUGGCUUUUGGAAUAUCAACGCGUAGAAAUGAUGAUUUUCGUUCUAGCCCAAAAUGCGGGGUGUUACAUUAACAUGGCCUAAACGUUCAUGCCACAAAUUAUAAGACUCAAGCAAGUAAGAAGAAUUUGAACUUUUAUUUAUUUUAAUAUUCAGUACAUUCAUCUUAUAAAGGUCCUCGGUGAUAUAGCCUUUUCCUAUAUACAUUUUUUCUUUGCUAAUUAUAAUUUUUCCAAAAACGGUUAUAUAUUUGAAUCCGUUCUUGUCUAGAAGUGAAACAGAAAUUAAGUUCCUACGAAAUUCUGGAACAUACAAGACAUUGCUAAGUGUCAAGACCUUUCCCGAAUUCAUUUUCAAGUACACUUUCCCUAUUCCUUCCACCUUAGUAGUAGCGGAGUUAGCCAUGUAGAUCAUUUCUUCUACUUAAGCAAGAGCGAAUGACGAGAACAACUCUUUGUUGGAAAAAAUAUGGUGGGUGGCACCAGAAUCCAUCCACCAUUCGCGAGGAUUGCCCACCAAGUUGUAUUCUGAAAACAUAGCACACAGAUCAUCACAGUCUUUGUUGGACUCAAUCAUAGUUGAAGCAUUUUCCCUUGAAUUUCUUCUUGGGUUGAUCGCUUCCAUAUUCAGCUUUCUUCCUUUUCUUAGAAUUGUUUCGAUCAUCUUCUACAAUAUGUGCUCCAUUAAUUGUAGAAUUCCCUUUUGACCUUCUUUCUGCAGCUUUAUUAUCUUCUUCAAUCCGUGGUCGGACAAUAAUAUCUUCAACAGUCAUCUCCUUGCGUUUGUGCUUCAAGUAGUUUUUGAAGUCUUUCCACAAAGGUGGUAGCUUCUCAAUUAUCGCUGCUACUUGGAAAGCAUCAUUCACAAUCAAACCUACAAAACAGUUUAUGUGAGUAUUAAGAACAUUUUCAAUUUGUUCAACUAAGGUAUUUUUCAAAGAUGUACCUUCCGCUAGGAGAUCAUGGCUGAUUACUUGCAAUUCCUGCACUUGAGAGACAACCGAUUUUCUAUCUAUCAUUUUAAAGUCCAAAAACCUUGCAACAACAAAUUUCUUAAUUCCUGCAUCCUCAGUCUUAUAUUUUCGUUCAAGAGCCCCCCACAAUUUCUUUAAUGUCUUAGCUCCACUAUAAACAUUAUAGAGAUCGUCUUGGAUGCACUCAAUAUAUAAUUCCUGCAAAGGAAGUCUGAAUAUUUCCAAGCCUCUACAAUUAUGAAGCGCUCUUUGUCCGAGGUUCCCUCGGGCACCUCAGGAGCGUCUUCACUAGUGAAAUUUUGUAGACAUAGAGUGGUGAGGUAAAAGUACAUCUUUUGCUGCCAUCUCUUAAAGUCAAUGCCUGCAAACUUUUCGGGCUUCUCCACCGGUGCCAUUGUUGGCAGAGCAUUUGCUCAACUUGUCGAGGCAAUGCUAGUUGUUGCCAUGGUUGUAGCAUCAUGCAUUUGACUUUUAGUCAUCAUACUUUCCCUAUCACCACAAGACAGUAAAUUUAGUAUUUUCAAAAUACUACUUAUAAAGUUAAACAACUUUAAACUAUUCUCCUUAUUUCUAGUUAACAAUGAAAUUUUUAUGACUUCCAAUUGUCAACCGAAUGAUCUUUAACUUGUGAUGAAGUUUUUAUGACUUCAAAUCACUAGUUAAGUUCAGGCAGAGGAGAAAGUUAAAACUUUAAUCUCCAAAAACAAGCAAUACAGAUUCUGUAAUAGUAAAGUUAUUUUCUUGAGAUUAUUACUUUUAGUAUAUGCGUUUCGGGUACACAGAAUAUGUAUAUGUAGAACAACAACUUCAACUUUAGUUCUAUGUUUAAAAACAAGAACGCAAUGAAGUAUAGAAAAUACCCUCAACACAAGAUCAAAGUGAUCUUUUCAAGAGAUGUAUUUUAUUUUUAGAAACAAAGAUGAAACAGAAAUGGCCAAGUUGUCCGAAUUCACGAAGUUUCCUUAAGGAAAUAAUUCCCCUCACUGUACCCGAGGUUGUGAAAAUUUUUCUUCCAGGAUAAAAUGGCCAAACAAACCAACUGUAGCGGUACCUCAAACAAUUGGAAUAUCUUCGAACUCACUAAACAUUUUGAGUGAUCACACAUAAUAUUUUUAAGACAAGAAAAGUGAUUUUAUUCUAAAAUUUUCGUGUCUAAACCUGUGAAUGAAAGCAGGUUUAUAUAUGUCAUUACCCGAGUCGGGGGCCUGGCCGUAAUGAGCAACCCGAACCAUGAAGGCCCGGAACACCCUUCUCUCAUGUACAACAUUCUUAUAAUAAAAAAAGAUGCGAAAAUAUAAUCUGAUACGGAAACAUGGUCAAUUCUGAAUUUAAUGUAAUGAUGGAAACUGUAAUUCAACAACAUCUAAAUAACAUCUGACUUAGUCUCUGAAAUCUCUGCUAUAUCUCAAAACAAUACUUUAUGAAAUAUGGCAUAGGCCCCCAAUAGACCAAAACUAUAGAAAUGAUAAAUAGCUGUAAGACAUUAGGCCUUCUGGAAUAUAGAAAGCUAUCCACUGAACUCGGCUCUGCUGUCCGAAAUAUCUACUGCUUAUCAGGACCCCUAGACUGUACCUCAUAACCUGAUAGGUAGGGGGAGGGGAUCAAUACAGAUAUACUAGUAUGCAGAGCAAAUCCAAAAUAAUCAUUUAUAAUCAACAUAUAUGAGAGCAAUUUAAAACAGUUCAUAAACAUAUCAUAUAGUGAGAAAUCACAUGGGCAUUUUAAAAGUCUCUGUGAAAACAUCUGAAAUCUGUGACACUCUUUGUAUUACUUCUGCGCUAGGUGGUAUACCCUACAACUCUAUUAGCCACGGGCUAUAUGUAAUCUGCCAUUAACUCGACAGCCAAGCCCCCAACCCAAGUUUGCCGCAAGGGUCGGAGUCUCUGCUCUGUACGCCACAGGGCACUAGGCCAGCGUAAAAUCCCUCAUGGGGAAGUAAUGUACCCGUAUCGGCAAAGCAAGGUUUCUGGCUACGAGUUACUUGAACUCCAGCCUUCUUCGGGCAACCACCCAACCCUCUUUAAGCCAUUUAACUCUUUCAAAAUAUGCAUUCUUUGAGCACAACUUCUGAAAUCAUACUCUGAAAACAUACUCUGUUAUGGCAUACAUACUUGUGGUAUUGUCGUACCACUGACUUGCAAGUCACAUCUCUGAGCCAUUUUAGCAAAUUAUAUCUUUGUUUUAAAAUCAUGAAAUUUAGGACCACCAUAUCAACAAUUCUUUCAAGAAACUCAUUCUUUAAAAUUCAUGUAAAGCCAUGAAAACAAUUCUCUUUAUCAACAAUUCAACAAACAAUGGUGGUCAUGUCAAAAGUCACUAUCUCAUACAAUUCUUCUCUUUAACACAAAACAUAGUUAUAUCAAGAAAUACCCUCUCAACAAUUCUAAAUCAAUGUUCAAAUACUAUGACAUUGAGAAAACAUCUUUCAAAUCACAAAACAUGCAUUUCAACUCUUUUCCAACAAAUCCAAAAAUCUGUAAUUUAUCACAAGAGAGGGAGUUCAUCAUUUAUGCUCUCAACCAAUCUUCAAUAUCAAUUUCAUACAUAUACGUAUACAUGUAAAUCAAUUUAGGGGUGGAAGACCACAAGGCCAAAGCAAUAAUAACAUUGAAACUUUCGGUAUACAUAAUCAAUAAUAUAGUUUUCAAAACCCCCUUAAAAUACAUCCAUCAAAACCUUUAAAUCAUGUUUUAAUAUUUUCAAGCCCAUGUAGUUUUUAGGAUAAACCCCACAUACCUCUAUUUCAGAAAAUAAUGGAUGAUUUUUGAAGCUUACGGAUUGGGGAUUCCAAAUCUCUAAUUAUCUUCCAAAACCCACGGUUGAAUCUUGAGUAAUUUGAGAUUUUUGUUUGAAACCCUUAUGAGAAUUCUUGAUGGAUUUUGGUGAAAAUAUGAGUAAUGUGGUCAUUUGGGAGCUUAAUCCCGUGUUUAUGGAUGGAUAGGGGAGGAGAAAAGACUUAAAUGCCCCUAAAAAAACAAACAAAGCCACAGUUGUCCCUCGAUUGACAAGCUGACAGGCUGAAGUAAAUUGGGAAUAACUUCUUACUCAGAUGUUCAAUUUGAAUAAAACCAAUUGAAUUGGAAAGAAGACUCAAAGAUAUUUGUUUGAUAUAUAGCAGCCCUCCCAGUUCAUUAUAUACAGAGAGUUAUGAUCAUUUGAAGUUGACCCUGAAACUAUGGUUUGAAAUGCGCCCGAACUGCGCCCAAAAUGCUGGAGCAUUUCAAAGGCAUUUCAAACCAGUGUAUUAUGCUCCAGAAAUGCGCCCAAAAUGUACCCGGAAUGCUGGAGCAUUUCCAAGGCAUUUCAAACCAGUGUAUUAUGGCCCUAAAAUGCAUCCAAGACUACUGUUGACUUGCCCCAUCGUAUAUCAACAAAAAAUCAUGAAACGGAGGUCGAGAAGGUCGAAAAUAAAAUCCACAAAGAUUGGGAAUUCAAAAUGAGACUACGUCUCUUUGACACUUAGAAAAAAUUUUAAGUCUUCAACUCUAUAAGCAAGCUACUACGAGAUAAUACAUGGAGGAUUUUUUUACGAGGUUUACAUCUAUGAGCAUACUACUAGGAGCUAACACGUAGAGUAUUCUGCAGGGUGUUACAACGACGAUUCGAUUUAUGGUUCGAAAGUGCGGGGUGUUACAAUAUAGCCAUCAGAUGCCUCUUCUGAAAAGAGGCAAUGGUUCACAUCAAAGGUUACACCUUUUCUGUAAGUUCAGGUCUGUUCAUCAAAGAGUGCAUAUUUUCCUGAACAAUCAUCUCAUUUCACGAAUCAGCGUGUCACUUUGUUGAAAGAAUUCAUCCUUCUGAAGUAUCAUUUCGAAACAUUGCAUCAGAGAAAGCGACUAAAAUGUACAAUGAAGACUAAACGAAAGAGAUAUUAUUGAUAAUUCGCUUUUUCAAUGAUAACAUAGUUUCAGAAUCAGUUGUUUACAUUUACAGUCUUAAUGCUGAUGGAUUUUCUUAACAAGUCAAUUGAAGUGAUAGAAUAAGGUAAGAGUACAACAUCCGUGUUUUCACAAACUUUAUCAAGCAUUGUCUUAACUGGUGCAAUCUGCAUAAAAUAACAUAACAAGAUUGUAAGGAAAGCAGUGAAACAAAUCAAAGGAAAUGAUCAGAUAAAAGGUUGUCUGUACCUUUUUAGGAUCUGCGAAAGAAUUCUCGUCCAUCACAUUGCUAGAUGUUAUUAUAGUUUUUGCUGCCCCAAAGGACUGCAAUGAGUUUUCCAAUCCACCGAUGGAGAUAUUAAGAGUGACUGUGCUGUUACCGAAGUUCACAACCUGCAAAAUUUGUCUUUGACAAAUGAGUCGCGAAUUAACAGAUGGAGACUAAGUUGUGUAUCUGCAAAAUGAAGAGAAGAGCAAUCUUAGUUUGUUUGUCCAUUCUAGUUGUUCACAGAGUAUACUGUAAGUCUUGAAAUGCGUUAAUGCUAAACGUCAAGAAAAACUACUCACCUUCAUUCUUAAAUACUUGUCGUUAUCAGUUUCAUUUCGCCAGGUGAUGGCAGAUGCUAUAAGUGGAUUCGAAGGAUUAGCUUGGAGUGUUGAAUUUAGAAGAGUUGCGCCGUUUGACUCUUUGAAGAGGUGCCGCAUCCAAUAACUAGGAAUUCCAUAGACCUGUGUAUAAGUGAAAACAAUUGCAUUUGGCGGUGUCCACCUAAAUGAACAAGAAUUAUUUUGUAGAGAUGAUUCAGUUUUGAAGAAAAAGAGAACGACAGUAAGAUAUCCGAUUUGAAGAAAAAGGAGAAGAAGAAAUCAAACUUACCCCCAGUCGUUGUUGUUAACGAAUAGGGGUGUCAUUACAAUCACAUCACUGCACAAGGAUAAUUACAGGUUUUCGUCAAGCUAAGAGAUCACACGAUUCACACCACAAAUUUUCCAGCAUACCUGUUCUUUUCUACUCCAAUAAGGAAUCCAGCUUCAGCGAGCGCUGCUAAAAGAUUACCAUUUCCAGCAUCGCCUUUAGUAGCAUACUCCCUAAUAAAAGCCUGUAGGAUCCGUUCCUUCAGCUUCCAACAUAACAAUCACCUUUGUCCAAUUUGAUGCAUUAGCAACUCUGUGGAAACAAUAAAGAAUCAAUGGUAAGAGAGACGCAAAAUUCAUAGAAACAUUGGCGAGAGAAAUAGGAAAACAUAGACAACUGCAGAUAUAGCAAAUGAAACUUACACUACAGUAGUUGUAGCCAGCUUCUUUAGUCCAUUUGAACCUGUUAAGUCAUUUUCCAAUAUUUUCAUAUAAUUUUAUUACUAUCUAAAUGUGUCGUGAAUUAUUUAAUUUACUUACCCUUCUAAAAAAAAUUUGAUAGUGGUAAAGUUCUUUAAGUGAUGAUAUAUUUAUAUCAUUUUAUAAUAGAUUUUUAUGAUUUAUUAAUAGUUUAAGAAAAUAUAGUAAAUUUAGAAAUAUUAAAAUAUUAUUAUUAUAUAUAGAAGUUUUGUUAGAAAUAAUUUUCUAUUAAUUAUGACAUAUUCAAAAUAUUAUAAUUAUUUUAUCAUGAGCUUGUUAAGAAUGAUGCAAGUGUAUUUCACUUCAUAUCUAAAAUGAGAGAUUACAACAACUAUAAAUACACAAGGCUAGACACACAAUGUCAAGAGCACAUCCCUAAGAUCAUGCUUCUACCUACAAUAAUUGACUCUAACCCACAAUCUGAAAAAUGCUACCAGCUACCAUAUCUUGACAUUUAUACAACGUCUUGACAAAUUACUACCUACCUUAUCUUGAAAAAAUACCACCAGAUCUUGACACUCCCCCUCAAGCUGGAACAUACAUGUCAUAUGCUCCGAGCUUGCCGCAAAUGUAUUCAAUCCAAACUCCUCUAAGGGAUUUAGUAAGAAUAUCUGCCAAUUGGUCAUUUGAACCGACGAAGCUGGUGGCAAUGCACCCAGACUCAAUCUUCUUCCUAAUAAAAUGACAAUCCACCUCUAUAUGUUUUGUUCUUUCAUGGAAAACUGGAUUUGAGGCAAUAUGUAGCGCAGCCUGAUUGUCACAUAUAAGCUUCAUUUGAUUGAAUUCAACACAUUUUAACUCUUGGAGAAGUUAUUUCAGCCAAAUAAGCUCACAUGUAGCAAGGGCCAUAGCUCGAUAUUCAGCUUCUGCACUAGAUCUGGCAACAACAUCUUGCUUCUUACUUUUCCAGAAAAUUAAACUGCCUCCAAUCAUGACACAAUACCCAGAAGUGGAGCGUCUAUCAGAUGGAGAACAUGCCCAAUCCGUAUCAGAAUAUCCAACAAUGUCUGUGUGGCCUUUGUCUUCAUAUAACAAUCCUUGUCCUGGAGAUUUUUUGAUGUAUCUAAGGAUGCGAAUCACUGCAUCCCAAUGAUCUUUACAUGGAGCUUGGAGAAACUCACUAACCACACUUACUGCAAAUGAAAUAUCCGGGCGUGUAAUAGUGAUAUAGUUCAAUUUACCGAUCAGUCUUCUAUAUCUACCAGGAUCUUUCAAUGGAUCCCCUGUCUAGGAACGAGUUUGAUGUUUGGAUCUAUAGGAGUGUCACUUGGUUUACAAUUUAACAUGCAUGACUCCUCUAAUAUGUCCAAAGCAUAUUUUCUUUGUGAGAUGGCAAUACUUGUUUUGGAUUGUGCUACCUCAAUUCCCAAAAAAUACUUUAACUUCCCCCAAUUUUUGUUUUGAAAGUAACUGAACAAAUGUUGUUUUAGCUGAGAUAUUCCUUCUGGAUCAUUUCCAGUUAUGACAAUGUCGUCAACAUAAACGACCAGAAAAAUGUUCUUUGCUGGACCAUUAUGUCGAUAGAAAACAGAGUGAUCUGCUUUACUUUGAGACAUCCCGAACUGCGGGACAAUGGAACUAAAUCUGCCAAACCAUGCUCUCGGAGAUUGCUUGAGGCCAUAUAAAGAGCGUUUGAGAUGGCAAACUAAGUCUGACUCCCCCUAAGCAACGAAUCCAGGAGGUUGUUCCAUAUAAACUUCCUCAGCAAGUUCGACAUGCAAAAAGGCAUUCUUAAUGUCUAGUUGAUGAAGCGGCCAAUGAUGAAUUGCUGCCAAGGAUAGCAGUCAGACAGAUGCAAUUUUGGCAACUGAAGAAAACGUGUCACCAUAGUCAAGACCAUAAAUCUGGGUGUAUCCUUUGGCAACAAGGCGAGCUUUCAGCCGAUCAACUGUUCCAUCUGAACCCACCUUUACUAUGUAGAUCCAUCAACUUCUAACAGUAGAUUUCCCCUUCGGUAAGAAGACCAAUUCCCAGGUGUUAUUGGUUUGUAAAGCAUUCAUUUAUUCAAUCAUAGCAUCUCUCCACCCGGGAUGUUGUAAUGCUUCGUUAACAUCCUUUGGUAUAGGUACAUUAGAUAGGGUAGAUACAAAGGUAUAAUACAAUGGGAACAACCGAUGAUAACUUAAAUAGUUAUAUCUCUCUGGUUGUUUAUUUCGAGUAGUGUGUAUACCUUUGCGUAUGGUGAUUGGUGGGGUCACUGCAUCUGAUGAAGGUAUGACUGGAGCAGGUGAGGAAGGAGCAUGAGAUGAGUCAUCAGGAGCUACCAGUGCAUCUGGAAUAAAAGUAGUACUAUCAUUAGUAUUGUUAAGAGGAUGAGCACGUCGGAUGUAUACUUGAAGAGGACGGGAAGGGGCGGUUUGGGGGUUGUCUAGAAGACUUAUUUGUUGUAGAGGUAGUAUGGGUACUGGCAAAACGUGAGGCAUUAAGCUUCUGCUUGUAGUGCUUGGUGUAAAAUAAGAGAUGUUUCAAAACUUGUCACAUUUGCAUUGAUAAAAUAUUUAUUUGAUUUUGGAUCAUAGCACUUGUAACCUUUUUGGUGACGAGAGUAUCCUAGAAAGACACACUUAAUUUAUUUCGGUUGGAGUUUGUCAUUUCUAGUAUUUUGAUCAUGGAUAAAGCAUGUACAUCCAAACACUCUCAAAGGUAGAUGAUAAGAAUUUUGACCAGGAAAGAGAACUGAGUAAGGACUUUGUUGUUGUAACACAGUGGAGGGCAUUCUAUUUAUCAAACAACAAGCAGUGAGAACAGCAUCCCCCAAAAAUGAAGAGGAACGUGAUUGUGUAUGAGUAAAGUUUGAGCUGUCUCAAUGAGAUGUCUAUUUUUACGUUCGGCGACACCAUUUUGUUGAGGAGUAUAUGCACAAGAAGUCUGAUGAGUGAUUCCCUUAGAUGACAUGAACCUGGCAAAGGGUGAAGAUAAGUACUCCUUUGUAUUAUCACUGCGUAAUACCUUAAUUGAAACACCAAAUUGAUUGUUUAUUUCAGCAUAGAAUUUUUGAAAAAUAGGGAAUACUUCAGAACGAUUUUUCAUUAAAAAUACCCAUGUGCAAUGAGAAAAAUCAUCAAUAAAGGUAACGAAAUACUGAAAUCCUAAACUUGAAACAACAUGACUAGGACCCCAUAUAUCUGAGUGAACAAUGUCAAACAUAUAUGUGGCCCUAUUAUUGACUCUUUUGGGAAACGAAGUGAGACUAUGUUUCCCAAGUUGACAAGACUUACAUUAAUUAAUUUUUGAAGCUUUGCUAGACUCGGGAAACCAAAACGGUUGUGGAGAAGAUCAGUUGAGGCUGCAGAAGUGAAGGCAACUGGUGGUGGUAAUUUUGACAUGUGAUACAGUCCAUGUGACUCAUAUCCCGUUCCAAUUGUCUUCCCCGUUCUCCGGUCCUGUACAACAACAGAUUCAGCCAAAAAAGUGACACUACAGUUCAGUUGUUUGGUUAAUUUGCUAACAGAAAUCAAAUUAAAUGGACAUUCAGGAUCAAAUAAAACAGAGUUUAAGGAAAUAGAGGGAAGAAGUUGCACAUUCCCUAUUCUUUUUACUGCAGUUCGGGAUCCAUUAGCAAGGUAACCGCGGUGAGAGUUGUGGAAUGAAUAAGAUUUGAGAAAAGAUUCUGAUUACCAGAGAUAUGGUCAGAUGCACCAGAUUCCAAUAUCCAUUGGCAGGAGGGUGAAGAUCUGGUAAGACAAGCAAUGGAAUCGUCUUUCUCUGCCAUUAUGGCUUUGACAGCAAAAUGAAAUACCAAGAAAAAGGUUGGUUAAAAGAACUCGAAUAAGGGAAGGAGAAGAUCAAGGCUUCUCUUGAUGACUGCAGAUCUGGUAGAAUUUAUUUUGUUUUUCAGAUCAGUACUGAACCAGAAUUUUGCAGGAAAAAAAUUUUACAAAGUCAGAGCCCAAGUCAGAGAAACCUUCUAAGAAAAGAAGAAGGAAGACAAACUCUUCAAUAAACUCAGCAGAAUCUGGUCACCAAGCUCUUGAAGAAAGUGGUAAAGAAGGUGAGAAACUUCAAGAUCAUCAGAAUGAUCAAAAUAAAGAUGACCAAAGAUCAGUCUCUGAAGAUCCAGCGGUUGAGCAGUGCAACUCGUUGGAGAAGGAAUUUAAAGCUGAAAGUGACUUGGAAGCUAAGCAGGUGAAUGCCAGAAGUGGCUGCUCUUAAAGUGGCUCCGAUACCAUGUAAGAAUCGGUAUUGGGCCUAACUCACACCCCAAAAGCUAGCUCAAGAGGAGGAGGAUUGCCCAAGCCUUAUAAAGGAGCCCAAGGACCCUUUACCCGCCGAUGUGGGACUCCAACACCCCCGCACGCCCAGGACUGGACAUCUAGAACGUGGACAAUAUGAUGGGGGGCGCCCAACAUCAGGAUGAAUGGGUGGGCCUGACUUUGAUACCAUGUUAAGAAUGAUGCAAGUGUAUUUUACUUCAUAUCUAAAAUGAUAGAUUACAUCAACUAUAAAUACACAAUACACACAAGGUCAAGAGCACAUCCCUAAGAUCAUGCUUCUACCUACAAUAAUUGACUCUAACCCACAAUCUGAAAAAUGCUACCAGCUACCAUAUCUUGACAUUUAUACAAUGUCUUGACAAAUUACUACCUACCAGACAAAAUACCACCAGAUCUUGACAGAGCUUAUAAAAUAUCUGAUUAUAUAUAACAGAGUAAUUAAAAGUUAUUAUAUGAUACCUUCACUUCCAUGUGGACGUGAAGGAGUCGCUAUGCUUUGUGGCCACUAACUUUUAUAUAUAUAUAUAUCUAUAAUCUAUAUUUGUAUCUAUAUUUAUAAUAUAUUAAAAGUGUGAAGACCCUUAGAAAAGUGAUUUGAAUUUUUUAUCCUUCAUUUAAAGUCCUUCCUUUAGACAAAAUAGUCUUUUCAAUAUUUUACUCAAAUUAUUAAUUUAUUAUAUUUAAAAUUAGAGAAUCAUGAUAAGAGAAAACAACAAGGAAAAAGACAAGCCUAAAAGAAAAGUCUAUUUCAUUACUUAAAUUAAAAAAAAGGAAAAUAAAAUUCUAUUUAAAAAGUAACAAACGUUAUUUUAAGGAAAAACAAAUUUUACUUGGAAAAGGUAAUAAACGUUGUUUAAAAGGAAAAAAAACACUCUCGAAUAAGGUUUGAUAAUGAAGAUUUAUUUUUUUAAUAUUUAAGAAAAGAAAAAUAGAAGAUUCAAUUGUAUUGUGCAUUUGUUUCAAAUUUUCGGUGAGUACAUUCUUCAUAUUUAUUAUAGAUUCAAUUCUUUGAUUUUUAGUUACGGAUUUACUUUAUUUUUUAUUAGAGAUUUCAAUUUGAUUUUUAUAUUAUUACUUAUUUAAUUUGUUUAAUACGUGGUGUAUUUUUUCUUUCUUUCACCAUUUAAAUUUGGUGUAGUUAUGUCUGUGCUUUACUUUGUUGGAACACACAUGGAUAAGCCUUGGUUGGUACUUCAACUUUGUGUUUCUAUAGACUGCAAAAACAAUUAUUUCAUGUGUUUGAUUAAUUAUUCUAGUAUCUUAAUUAUUGUAGUUUAUAUUUUGUGGUAACUGGUAUUUUUCUCCUUAAGACAGUUUGAAAUUUCAAUUAUCGUACUGUUUUGUUGUGGUUUACAGGAUGACUGAUGAAUGUUCGGUCAUACUUUGAAGAAUUUUGUGAAAAGGUUAUGUUUAAUCAUAUUAUUUUGUUGUAGUUUUGAUCUAUUACUAUCUGUUAUUUUUAUUAUUAUCUGUUAAGUUAUAGUUCAUGUCAUAGGAGACAAGAGGAUUGGAAAGACUCGAGCAUCCUAAGAACUAGACAUAAGGAAGAGGACCAAUCGACGGACCGCAAAAACUAAAAAAACAAGAAGCUUGAAAAGUUUUAUGUGUUCUUAAGUAGUUAUAGUAAGAGUACAAUAUUAACUGAAAUUUUGUGGAAACUUCGCCCACAUAGAUCUCAAAUUAAAUAGGAAUCAAUAACAUAUUAUAGUUUAUACAUUAUUGUAAAAGCAUCUCUUUGCUAUUUGUUGAAUGAUGGUAGUAUUUAAUGAGUCACCAAUAUUUUAUAGGAGAAAUUACACAAAUUUCAUAUUUAAGACACCAUAUUACAUAAUAUCCCUUAAUGUUUUAAAAAUUACAUAAAAUUCUGGAUUUAUAUUUACUAGUGAUACAUAUGCUAUAUGUAUCACUACUGUUUAUAUAUGUAUAUACUAGUGAUACAUAUACAUAUGUAUCACUAGUCCAUAUGUAUCACUGCUUAACAUAUGUAUCACAAUUCGAAAUUCCAGGAUAAGAUGUAAUUAGCAAACUAUCCGGAAUUUUAUGUAAUAUUGCUGAAACUAUCCGGGAUUUAUGUAAGUUACUCUAUUUUAUAUGAGGCCAAUCUCUUCAUUGUAACUUUAAGAUAUAGCAAGCUCUUUAGAGUUGAAUCAUGUAUAUAGGUCCAAAGACUAAUUCGAGACUUAUUAUGAUAGCAUAAAUUUGCAGAAUUGUUUUGAUUAGUCUAUGAAGUUUAAGUUGCAAUGGUAUCUAAGGUUAGCACUAAUAAUUCUUUUUAGGUUCAUUAUUCGGUAUUUAUUCAGCUAUAGUUAGCUUUUACGUGUAUAAGAAGGUGAAGUAGAUAGUUGUUGUUGGUGUUUGAGGUUACUGAUGUCAACUUAUUAUCUUUUAUCUUGUCUAUGCCAAUUAAAAACCUAGGAAGAGCUCAUGGUGGUUUGGUGAUGGAGAGGAGAUCCAAUGUUCAUUGAACGAGGAGUAGAUUCUGUGUUUUUCAAGAAAAUAUUCUAAUCAAAUCAAAAUUAGAAAAUGAUUUGGGCUUGAAUAAACCACCAAAAGAAUCUGGCAGGAGAUUUUUGGGGAACAAAUAUUCUUGUGAUUUGGUAUAAGUUUUCUAAAAUUUUAAUGUAUUCUUAAAAUUCGCAACAAUAAUAAAUUAUUACUUAAAAUUGAUAGAAUUUGAUUAGAUUCUAGGUCAAGACUAUUGCAGAGUCUUAAACAAUAACAAAAAAUCUGCCUAUGCAAGGAGAAAAAGUAAAAGUAAACAAUUUAAUUAGAGUUUUCAUUAAUAUUUUGUCUUCAAUAUAUUUGAUAUAUAAUUUUAUUUAUUUGUUACUUAAGUUUAAACAGUUGGCUGGAAAGAAUCGAGUCUCAACAAAUAAAAAUUUACUUAAUUUCUACCCAAAAUUACAUUUUUAUCUUAGUACAUUAAAUUAUUUGCAUAUGAAGGAAAGAUUUAAUUCUAAAGGACAAAAAAUGAUCAGUCAUGUAUUUUAAUCUUCUUAGUGUGUUUAGACAAGUUAAUCCGAUGCGAACUGAUUGUAUUAUAAAAACACUAUUUUUAAUUCAUCCGCUUUAUAACUUCAAAAACUUAAAUAAGUUAAAAAAACUAUAAUUACUAUGUAUAUUAAAAGCUUAAAAAAUUUAGACUUACAUAUACUCUUUACGAAAACAAUUAACCUUUCUCUUUCAAAUUAUAUCAUUCUAUGUAAUUAUCUAUUUAAGUCAUAACUUUGCUAGAGAACGCAUUAGAAGUGUAUAUAUAUUAGAAUAAUACUAAAUAUGAUGUAUUUGUAAUGCUAAAAUUAGUAAUGUUAUGAUUAGUUAUAUGUGAUUAGUUAUGUUGAGAUUAUUUCUUAUUCACUGAUAAUUCUACACUUAACCAUGUUUAUUUCUAAUCUGUAAUCUCUAAUAUAUAAUCCAUAUUCAUACUAUAUUAAAAGUGUGAAGGGUUUUAGAAAUAUUAUUUGAUUUUUUUACCCUUUAUUAAAAGUUUCCAGUUUAAACAAAAUCGUUUCUCACUAUUUUCCUAAUAUUUAAGAGUUGAAAAUUAAUUAAAUAUUUAUAGUAAAACCUUUUCUUAUUAGAUAAUUCAUUGGUUUAAGAAUUCUAAAUAAACUAAAGUUGAUUUUAAGAAGAUUUGAAAAAUCUAGAAAUAAACAUAAAAGUUUUAGAAUAAGAAAAAUAUAAGAAAAUAGCAAGUUUUAAAAGUUUUAAGUAAGUAAUCAAAGAUUUUCUAAAAAUUUAACUUUAAAAAUAAGAAAAGAUUUUAAACAUAGAAAAAAAUAAUAUUCCCACUACGUACAAUAUGGUUCAAAUCCAUGUAUCUCUCUUAGCCUCUAACAGAAAGGAGAAGUGCUGCACAAAAAAAGCAAAAGUGAUGAUUCAUUAACUACUUGAAACUUCUGAUGAUAGUUAAAUAGUUAAAAGUGAUGAUACUUAAAAUUGUCUAUUUUAAAUAGUUAAAAGUUACACGUGUGAGACACGUGCAAUUAAACUUGUUUGUGUGUGUGUGUGUGUGUAUAUAUAUAUAUAUAUAUAUAUAGGAUAGUAUUGGAAGAACAUAAUAAAAUACUCUUGAUUUCAUCAAAAGAGACAACUAAAUUGAAACAAAUAUUUUUAGAAAGAGAACCGAGAGAAUUGAACGAAAGGUAUCUUUUUAAGUCUUGAAUGAAGGAUUGGUGACAUUGACCAACUUAAAGGGUCAAACAUCAUUAGGAAAUUUGAUUAAGUUAAUUGUGGAUUUCAUUAAUAUUUUCAAAACUUUCUAAUCUUUUCAAAACUACAAAUCAACCCACACCCCUCUUUAAUCCAAAUCAACCAUUCCUUCUCCCCCCUCUCUCUCAAUAACUUCUCUUAACUCUCUCCCAACCAACAGUUCUGCAAAAUUUCUCCCUUCAACCUUAGCGACAAAUAGUCGGGCGAGUUCCUUUUUGACUUUCAACCGUCAAUCGACGUGAAGACUUCUCCGGUGACAACAACUUUGAGUUCUUCGUCGUCCCAUUUCCUUUUUCAUAGGUAAAAAAUUAUGAAGAAACAGAGGAUCUUGAGCCAACUACUCUUCUAGUAUUGAAAUAUGGACUGAAUAUAACCCUAAUUUCUGGCAUUUCUUCUUCUUGUUGUCGUACUGUUGAUUCAAAUUUGUUGGUUAUUUUUUGUCACAGUUGAUGUUCUUAAUGUGUGUGUGUGUGAUGUAUUGGUGUUGCUGGGUUGAUGUGUUAUAUGUCUUGGAAAAAAUGGUGUUGCAACAGAUGAAAUAUCUGAUGUAACAGAUGAACAUAUGAUGUGACAGAUGAAUACAUCCGAUUCAACAGAUGGAAACAUCUGAUGCAACUAUGAACAAUCUAACAGAUCAUUCAUCUGUUUCAACAAACAACUCUUCUGUUUGGAAGAAAUCUAAACAGUAUUGAUUCAACAGAUAACUCAUUUUAUAACAGAUUAGUGAUCUAUUUAUAUUCUUUCCAACGAAAAUUACCCAUUCGUUGCAACAGAUCGGUUAUAAGUUCUCAUCCGUUGCAACAGGUCGGUUAUAUAUUACAACAGAUAACAUACCUGGUGCAACAAAUUAGUGAUCUAUUUUUAUUAUUUCCAACGGUUUACUCAUCCGUUGCAAUAGGUCGGUUAUAUAUUGCAACAGAUAACAUACUUGGUACAACAGACUAGUGUUCUAUUUUUAUGAUUACCAACGGAUUACUCAUCCGUUGCAACGGGUGGGUUAUAUAUUGCAUCAGAUAAAAUAUCUGAUGCAACAGAUUAGUGAUCUGUUUUUAUGGUUUUCAACGGAUUACUCAGCCGUUGCAAGGGGUCGGUUAUAUGUUGCAUCAGAUAAAAUACCUGGUGCAACAGAUUAGUGAUUUGUUUUUAUAGAUUUCACGGAUUACUCAUCCGUUGCAAUAGGUCGGUUAUAUGUUGCAAUAAAUAACAUACCUGGUGCAACAGAUUAGUGGUCUGUUGGAACUGUAAAUUACUGUUAUGCAUUAAUCAAUUAUAUCUAGGUUAUGUUCCUGUUAAUUUAAGAUAAUAUGGCUCCCAAAAGAAAAGAAAUCAAAUCAAGUCCAAGUAAAGGAACAAGUGCAGAAGCUUGGCUACAUCCACCACUCUAUGAGCUUGCUUUGCAAGCGUUAUCUCAAUCAGGAGUAGAAGAUAAUGAACAAAGGGAGGAGGAAUCUUUUAAAAGAGAUGAUCCAAACGCUAAUAGCCCUUCCGUCGAAGAGUUGGUCAAAACCUUCAGCAUUGAUCGUUAUCCUGUGAGAAUGCAGUGCGAUGGUGUCACAGAUUUAAUGGAUGAUCUCGUGGUUAAGUCAGUCAUGGAAAAAUCUUUCGACGCCUUCAAAAAAAUACUUCAAGAACAAAAAUUGGAUUCUUAUUUCAGGGAAAGCUUCUUUGGGCAAUAUCUUAAUUUAUCGGAGGACAACAAUGCUCGUUUCAAGAUAAAAAUGGUAUAUGAUCUUCUUAAGCGCAGGUUUACAUAUGAAAAUAAAGAUAAGAUGGAUGAGGUGUGGAUAAUUAUUGCGGCAUGCCUGUUUGUUUUAGUUGGAAGGAGUUUGCCAUAGUUACCGGACUAAAAUGCUAUCCUCCUUCUCCUUCUCAAGUUAUACCUACUCUGACCCAAAAAAAACACCCCGCACACCCAAAAAAGGCAAUGGCAAGUCGAGUGAUCAUGAUGAUUUGGUGUCCAUUGUUGGUCCAAGCUUAAAAAACAAAUAUCUGAUAGAAGCGUUGAAAGGUAAAGUACUUUCAAAAAAGCACAAGCAAUCAUUGUGCUUGGUUUGGUUUGUACAUAAUGUUCUUUGGGCGAGAGACGUUAACAACAAUAUAAGCCUCGAUUUAAUAAAUCUCUCUGAGGAUCUUGAGGUAUUUAACAACUAUCCUUGGGGUUAUGAAAGCUUCAAAAUGACUGUAAAAUAUUUGUUGACUCCGUUAACGCCAAAAACAGUCAACUUAUAUGCCUUUCCAUGGGCCUUCAUGGUAAAUAUUUUUUUUAUCUUGAUAUGAUUCAUCAUUUUUUUAUUCAACAAUGCUUUUGAUUUAUUGGCGUUAUGUUAUAGGCUUGAGCAUUUGAAGUCAUUCCUUAUUUGAGACAACAAGUGAACUACCAAGAAGAAGUUUUCUGUCUAAGAAUCCUGAGACGGUUGUUGGCCAAAACCGAUAAAAAUGCAAAAUUUCUUGAUCUUUUCAAUCCCUCCAAGGAAGCAGUAAGUCCAAUUCUAAUCAAGUUUUUGUUUUAAUUAGUGAUUAAAUGAUUUCAUUAUCAUUCUUAAUAUAUGUACCUAUUUAUUUUAGAUUGUUCAUCCGUGGCUUGUUUCGACCAACCGAGGGUUGAAGAUAUCAUUUUUUCUUAUUUUAUGGUCUGUACAACUUUAUCGAGCCCUGAGGUCGUUGAUGGAAUAAAAAUAAAAUUGUUUGAAGCAACAACCAUCACAAGAAAAAUAAUUUUGGAGGGUGGGCUUGUUGUUGUUGACGAUAGUAGUCGUAGUGGUGCUGUUGUUGGUUCUAAUGAUGCUCCUCUUACAAUUUUUUAAACAACAAGCCAUUAUGAUAAUUAUCAUAAUGGUUGUACAGAUUUUUCACCAGAUUUUACCACAUAUAUCGAAAGUUCUGCAUGAAAAUGUCAAGACUGCAAGGCGAAACACGAUGAAGUGAUUAAUGUUAUUAAUGCACUAACUGCUCCUAUAAAGGAAAUGACAUCUAAGAGGGGUGUCAUUCCAUUAAAGAAAAUUUCAUAUCCAAACACUCCACUAGAGAUCAAGGUGCCUAAGAGGAGAAGGAAAUACACUUCCAAGGCAUCAUCAACAUAAAAAAAACAAGAUUUCAACCCCUCUGUCUUUGUUUUGCACCGAUGUUCAGUGUGCAAGGGCCAUAGGAGAGCAGCAUGAGCUGAAGAAGGUGAAUGUACAUCAUCUAUUCCAACAAACAAACAGGAACAUAUCUGUUUCAAUGGAUGAUACAUCUGCUGAAAAUUAUCAGACAGAUAUAUACAUCUGUUGUAAUUGUUAUCUAACCUAUUGCAUCAGAUUCGUUAUCUGUUUCAACAACUGAGUCUUAUGUUGCAACAAAUGGGUCAUCUAUUCAAAAUUAUCGUACUGCUCUAAUUUACCUGUUAGAAUUUAUCCCAAUAAAUAAUCCAUCUGAUGCAGCAUAAGACUCAUCUGUUGCUACAGAUGGAUAAUCUGUUGUAUAUCUCCAAUAAGCAUUGACAAUUUUGGCUUUUUAGGUGGAUGCCACAGUAGAAGCUACUGCUGAAGAGCAUAAUAUCACAGUUGAUAAUCCAUCAACUGCUUUCAAAGAAGAAGAAAAAGUGGAGCCUGUCAGUUUGGGAGAACGAAAGAAUUACCCGUUUGAAGGGUUCAACAUCUCGGACGAGGCUCCAAAAUAACUAACACAGUUGAUCAAUGACUAUUCAUAAUGGAUUACCGAUGGUCUGUUAAAGCAUCAUGUCGGCAGGUACAUAAAUCAAUUUUAUAGGUAUUAGUUUAUAUAAUUCUUGUUGUAAGAACCUGACAUUACCAUAUAUAAAUCAUCAUGUAGAAAAGAAAAUGACGAGCGCUAUAAAGUGAACGAAUCAAGUCUUGGUUUUGAUAUGUUCGACUUUGUUGUUGCUCAUCCCGAGACGAAGAAUUGGUUCUAUUUGAUGUCAUAGCUCAAAACUUGUUGGAAUGAUGAGGUUUAAAUACCAUACAUACUACUAUAAUUAAUACUUUAUUUAAUUACAUCUAGAUUUUUUCGUCACGUAAUCCAAAAUAUUUUAUAAUAUGUGCAGCGCAUCGAUGUCAUUUUUUACUACCUCCGAAAGAAGGCCAAGUUGCAAAUACAAGAACAACACAGAUACACGACAUGCAAUUGUUUGUAUAAAGUUUACAUCAAUAAUGCCUACUAUAGGUAUUGUCAAUAGCAACCUGAAAUUUCCCUAAAUGAGGAAUGCUUAAUCAAAAUCAUCAAAGGUUUUAGCAUUUUGGCUAGCUUACCUUGGUAUUUGGUCGACGAAGUAUACAUCCCAAUCAAUUGUGGUGAUGAAUUUCAUUGGGUGUUGGCUGUCGUCAUUCUAAAAGAGAGGUGCAUCCGAGUUUAUGACUCGAUAUCAUGGAACGCUUCGAUUUUUUGAACCGGAAUGCUACACGGUGCUCAUGACCCCGAAGGACCACAAGCUAACCCAUGACUGAUAUCUGUACUUGUAUACUGCAUAGUAUCUCAUAAAAAUACAGAAAACAUGAACUGAAAGUCCAUAAGGUUUAAUCCGAACAUAAUCUGAUAAACCAACAUCUAAAAUGGUGUAUAUCAAUACCCAAAAUAAAACUGAGGUAACUAUCUGAACAUGCUAGUUUGAAAGCCUCUAAACUGACUGUCUGGAUAAGGAGUUGAUGGGACAUGUCCCCAACUAACUCCGUCUAACAAAACUGAACUGAAAUAAUAAAUAAAAUAAAAGCAUAUCAUCCUCGAAUGAAGAGAACUCACUGCAACUCUGAGUACUGGAAUGUCACUGCUACUGCUGAUCUAGAAAUGAGACUCGUGUCUCUGAACCUAUGGCGUAACAUAAAAAGAAAACACCAUAGCGCAAAUGCGUCAGUACGUUGGAAUGUACUGAGUAUGCAUGAAAGGUAGGCUAAUGCAUGGGGUUUAUAUGCAUGAACUAUACCGACUGACUGACAUGAACGUGAGAAUACAUACAUGCAUACAUAAAUGUAACUGAAUAACGUGAUAGGACUAAAUACUGAGUUCUUACUGCUGAGUCUACUGAUAACUUGGAUUUACUGAUAUCUGAGUUUACUACUAAUGGAAUACAGAUCAACGGUAUUACUGAUAAGAUGACAACUGAGUUUACUGAGAUGGAUAUUUGAAUGAUUGUUUUUUAUAGUUCUGAUUAUGAAGAACUAAUCUGAUAGAAUGUAUAUGCCAGCCUAGUUAGAAAGAAUUUAUCUAAUUGACUGUAUCUGACAACCGUGAAUAUGAAGAACUGAUAUAUUUGACCGUAUCUGACAAUCAUAAAUAUGAAUACUGAUAAUAUGAGUUUCAUAAAACUGAUAUACUGAUGAUAAAUGACUGUAUCUGAUAGUCUAAGUUUUAUGUAACUAGCUGAGUUUCGUAUUGCUGGGUGACUGUAACUGACAGUCCUAAGUCUGAAGAACUAUCUGAGUUCUAUUACUGAAACUGAGAGUGAGACUAAAACUGAGACUGUGGGAGGUAAUCAUCUAACCGACAUGCCCUGUAACUGAACUGGUGGGGUCCAACCCGUAACCCCAGCUAAAGGGUGUCAAUACCAUACCACGGGUAAAGACAACAUGUGAGUAAACCCUAUUCAGUUUGGGAACUCUUUUCAUCUGCCUUUGCUACUAGGUGAACUCAAAUGAGAUACAUUGGCCCUAUAUGUAGGGACAUCUCAACCUACGCUGGCUACGUAGUUAUGGAACACAAGGAUUGCUACUAAGGAUCGUACCCUCUGACUUAGGUGUCUCCCCAUCCUUGGGUUCACUCGGUGCUGAUACUACUCCCAACUAAAUAGACACUAAACUGAUUUAACUGAACUAGACUAGACUGAGUUUAUGGAGUUUCGUUGAUUGACGGAAUACAUUUGAGAACUGAUAAUUGACUGAGAUUACCGAGAUUACGAAUAUCACGGGUUUGUUGAGAUUACUGAAUUUAAAGUACUGAAUUACUGAGAUGACUAAAUUACUGAGAUUACUAAGGUUACUGAGUACUGCAUAGGACUAGACUAAUACUGAUUUUACAUAAGCUUUUCGGAGUCAUGAGAUUGACUGAAGUCUACAGAACAUGGCUUGACUGAGAGUAUCGUGAUAACAUGAUAUGGCUCUAGUCACACAACUAUAUUUUCUAGGUACAAGUACCCCC
Molecule: long non-coding RNA, 61390 nt
Filed under: Capsicum annuum
Lineage: Eukaryota; Viridiplantae; Streptophyta; Magnoliopsida; Solanales; Solanaceae
Description: long non-coding RNA (CANN_LNC016661)
Rfam family: tRNA (bases 17063-17134)
Source: RNAcentral